AAAAAAAAAAAAUUUCUGGGCUGUUGGGCGUGAGGGAGGCUGCUGCCAUAUUCAAGGUGCAGGCGUUAAAGGUUCCUCUAAAGACACCGCCAACUCAGGGAGGUACGUUUUUGGGUCAACAUCGAUCUAGGUGUGGGACCUGGCUACGACAGGUUCUCUUGUGGGUAAUCUGUUAUCUUGUUGAAUUUUCUUAGCAAUUAUGUCUGACAAAAAGACUGGAGUUUCUGAUAUAGUUCCGUUGGUUUCAAAAAUCACGGAACACAAAUUAAAUGGAAUUAAUUUUCUUGAUUGGAACCAUACUAUUGAAUUAUAUCUACUCAGUAUUUCUAUGGAUGGUCAUCUGACCGAUGAUCCACCUACGGAUGACUCUAGACUGUCUUGGGUGAGAGAAGAUGCUCGCUUGUAUAUACAAAUUCGUAAUUCUAUUGAUAGUGAGGUGGUGGGCCUGGUUACCCAUUGUAAGACAGUGAAACAGUUAAUGAACUAUUUGCAGUUCUUAUAUUCGGGAAAAGGAAACUUCUCUCGUAUCUAUGAUGUUUGCAAGGAUUUUUACAGGGCAGAUAAAGGAGAUAAGUCUCUCACCAGUUAUUUUAUGGACUUCAAGAAAACAUAUGAAGAGCUCAAUAUGCUGCUUCCCUUCAGUAUCAAUGUGGAGGAACAACGGAAUCAGCGAGAGAAGAUGGCUGUUAUGAGUUUUCUCGCCGGUCUUCCGUCUGAAUUUGAGACUGCCAAAUCUCAAAUUCUUUCCGGAUCAGAAAUUUCCUGUCUAGAAGAUGCUUUUCGAAGGAUUCUUCGUACAGAGAAUACGUUACCUGUUCUAUCCACUCAGCCUAACAGUGUUCUUAUUAGUCGUACUACCACAUUUGAUUCAGGAAGACAACACUACAAGAGUAGUGGCAACAGUAAGAGCAUGGGGUCGGGGUCCAACAACUCUGAUAAAAUUACUGAAAAUCGUGGAAAGGAGCAAGGAGAAAUUGUAUGUCACUACUGUCAUAAACCAGGACAUAUCAAGCGGGACUGUCGAAAGCUACAGUAUAAGAAAGCUCAAUUUGCACAUGUUGCAUCUAGUUCUGAGACCUCUGAAAAGUCUGUUACAAUCUCUGCAGAUGAGUAUGCCAGAUUGACUCAGUUUCACGAAACAGUGAAACAGCCAUCCGGUCGUGUUACUGCACUUGUUGAGACAGGUAAACCCAAUACAUGCCUUGUUUCCUCUUCUCCAAAAUGGGUCAUUGAUUCUGGUGCUACAGAUCACAUGACAGGUAAUCCCAAUUUACUUUCUAACUUUCAGCCACAUAAAUCUAUCACUCCUGUUACUUUAGCCGAUGGUUCAACAUCCAGUGUUAUUGGGUCUGGAACCACUAAACCUACAUCCUCUCUCCAUUUGUCAUCUGUUCUGAGUCUACCACGACUAUCGUUUAAUCUGAUUUCUGUCAGCAAACUUACUCGUGCCCUUAAUUGUUGUGUCUCAUUUUUUCCUGGUUCUUGUGUAUUUCAGGAUCUCAUGACGAAGAAGAUUAUUGGUAAGGGACAUGAGUCUGACGGUCUCUACAUUCUUGAUACACAGAAACCAGGGUCUAUAGCCUGUGCUGGAACAGUCUCUCCUCUUGAAGAACACUGUCGAUUGGGUCAUCCUUCGCUUUCUAUGUUAAAGCAACUUUGUCCUCAGCUUUCGAACAUUACUUCAUUAGAUUGUGAGUCGUGUCAGUUUGCUAAACACCAUCGUCUUAGUUCUAGUCCUAGAAUCAAUAAACGAGCUACUGCUCCCUUUGAGUUAGUCCAUUCCGAUGUUUGGGGUCCUUGUCCGGUGACUUCUAAAACUGGUUUCAGAUAUUUUGUUACAUUUGUUGAUGAUUAUUCUAGAAUGACAUGGCUUUAUUUGAUGAAAAAUCGCUCAGAAUUAUUCUUUCACUUUUCUUCCUUUUGUGCUGAAAUACGAACCCAAUUUGGUAAACCAGUACAAAUUUUAAGAAGUGAUAAUGCAAAAGAAUAUGUUUCAGGAAAUUUUCAGAAAUACAUGCUUGAGCAGGGUAUUCUCCAUCAAACUUCUUGCGUUGACACCCCUUCUCAAAAUGGGGUUGCUGAGAGAAAGAAUAGACAUCUUCUUGAAACUUCUCGAGCCUUGUUAUUUCAAAUGAAGGUUUCUAAAUGCUUCUGGGCUGAUGCUGUAUCUACUGCUUGUUUUCUAAUCAAUCGUAUGCCUUCCUCUGUUUUAUCUGGUAAUACUCCUUUACACACUCUAUUCCCGAAUAGACAAUUGUUUCCUAUAGAACCAAAGAUAUUCGGGUGUACUUGUUUUGUUCGGGAUGUUCGUCCUCAAGUUACAAAACUUGAUCCUAAGUCCUUAAAGUGUAUAUUCCUGGGUUAUUCCCGUGUACAAAAAGGGUAUCGUUGUUAUUGUCCUAGUCUUGGUAAGUAUCUUGUGUCUGCCGAUGUCACUUUUUUGGAACAAACACCUUUCUCCUCAUCUUCAGGUUCUGUGAGUCCGGGGGAGGAUGAUGAUUUGUUAAUCUAUAGUGUCAUACCAAAUUUGGAUUCGCCUCCCUCUACACCAGUUAAGCCUCCCAUCAAAUACACCUACUCGCGUCGCCCACAUCUGCCCAGUUCUGACUUGGUCCUGGAGUCUCCAACAUCAUGUCCUGAUGAACCAGUAUCUUCGUCAUCAGAUCCGACUACCAAUGAUGAUCUUGAUCUCCCUAUUGCUCAAAGAAAAGGUAAACGUGCAUGUACUUAUCCAAUCUCUUCAGUUGUUUCCUACAAUCAUUUGUCUUCCUCUUCUCGUGCUUUUCUUACAUCCCUAGACACUAUUUCUGUACCCAAAACUGUUCAAGAGGCAUUAGCUCAUUCCGGAUGGCGGAAUGCUAUGAUUGAGGAAAUGAAUGCUCUAGAUGUCAAUGGUACGUGGACUUUAGUUACCCUACCUGCAGGUAAACGAGCUAUUGGAUGUAAAUGGGUGUUUACGGUCAAAAUGAAUCCUGAUGGUUCCAUUUCUCGAUUGAAAGCUAGACUUGUUGCUAAAGGAUAUGCUCAGACUUAUGGCGUGGACUAUCAUGAUACUUUUUCUCCUGUAGCUAAACUUGCUUCUAUCAGGUUAUUUAUCUCCCUUGCAGCAGCUUAUGACUGGCCUCUGCAUCAAUUAGACAUCAAGAAUGCCUUUCUUCAUGGUGAUCUUCAGGAGGAGGUCUAUAUGGAGCAACCACCAGGUUUUGUUGCUCCAGGGGAGUAUGGGAAAGUCUGUCGUCUGAACAAAUCUCUAUAUGGUUUGAAACAGAGUCCUCGGGCUUGGUUUGGAAAAUUUAGCCAAGCUCUUGAAAAGUUUGGGAUGCAAAAGAGCAAGUCCGAUCAUUCUGUUUUCUAUAAACAAUCUCAUGGGGGUAUUAUUCUGUUAGUUGUAUAUGUGGAUGAUAUUGUCAUCACAGGUAGUGACCCUAGAGGAAUUUCGUCUCUGAAGUCCUUUCUUACUACUCAGUUCCAUACCCAAGACUUGGGGAUGUUAAAGUAUUUCUUGGGAGUUGAAGUUAGCAGGAGUAAGAAAGGAAUCUUCCUAUCUCAGAGGAAGUAUGUGCUUGAUUUACUGAUGGAGUCGGGAAAAUUGGGUGCUAAACCAUGUAGUACCCCAAUGGUUCCUAAUUUACAGUUAACCAAAGAAGGUGAGUUGUUUGCAGAUCCUGAGAGGUAUAGAAGACUUAUUGGAAAGUUGAAUUAUCUUACUGUGACACGUCCUGAUAUUGCUUAUUCAGUGAGUGUGCUGAGCCAGUACAUGUCAUCACCAACUAUUGACCAUUGGAAAGCAGCAGAACAAGUUUUACACUAUUUAAAAGGUGCUCCUGGACGUGGUAUCCUAUAUGGCAAUUAUGGUCAUACUAGGAUCGAAUGUUUCUCAGAUUCUGAUUGGGCAGGGUGUAAGGAAGAUAGGAGAUCUACUUCAGGAUAUUGUGUUUUUGUUGGGGGAAAUUUGGUUUCAUGGAAGAGUAAGAAACAGAAUGUAGUCUCACGAUCAAGUGCAGAAGCUGAAUACAGAGCUAUGGCAAAGUCUGUGUGUGAAAUCAUAUGGGUAUAUCAGCUCCUGAGUGAAGUAGGAAUUAAGGUCUCGGUACCUGCAAAGCUACGAUGUGAUAAUCAAGCUGCACUUCACAUUGCUUCUAAUCCAGUCUUUCAUGAACGAACGAAACAUAUUGAGAUUGAUUGUCACUUCAUUCGUGAAAAGAUCCAACAGGGUUUGAUCACUACAGGUUAUGUGAAGACUGGGGAACAAUUAGGUGAUAUAUUCACAAAAUCUCUUAACAGGGUCCGUACUGAUUAUCUAUGUAACAAGUUGGGCAUGAUUGAUAUCUAUGCUCCAACUUGAGGGGGAGUGUUACAGAUUGUAGGCUGAUUUGUAGGGAUUAGAUAGCUGAUUUGUGGGGAUUAGAUAGUUACAGAUGUAGGCUGAUUUGUAGGGAUUAGAUAGCUGAUUUGUGGGGAUUAGAUAGUUACAGAUGUAGGCUGAUUUGUAGGGAUUAGAUAGCUGAUUUGUAGGGAUUAGAUAAGUUACAGAUUGUAGGCUGAUCUGUAGGCUAAAUAAUAGGAACUAGAUAUGUCUAUACUUGUAUAUAUACCGUUAUGAUUGAUGAAUAAAAGGUAAGGAAAAUUCAUUCCCUUUUUCUGAGUUUAACAGGUUCAAUAUAGAUUUUUCUACCUCUGUCGUUUUCAAUGUAAUUAUUUACAAGUCUGCAUUCAUUGUAGAUGAUUUGUUGUGUUUUGGUUGCUCUCUAGUGCUACUUGCAUUGGAUAUGAACAUACAUUUUUCAAGCUGUAAUUAUUCAAUUUUUGGAAUUUUGAAGUGUAUUUUCCAAGGCUUCUGUCACUCCACCCAAGCUGUUGUAGCACAAUCUGCAUUCUUUCAUAAUCAAAAGUUGAAGACUCAGGCGCAAGAGAAAUAGGGAUUUUCAAUGGUGGUCAAUUUCUCCCUAAUCAGAUUUUUCAGAGGCUGUGGUGUUGCUCACUUCCUUUUAAUCUAAGGAAUGAAUGAGGGUUAUGAUCGGGUUUGAACCUCCAUGAUAAAACAACCAGAGGGCUGAAAACUAGGAGCUCCAAGACUGAUUGAGGCAUCAGAGAGAUGUGGGAUUUCUUCAAGGAGUGUUGCCCCUCUCCGUUUUUAGCCAAUGAUGUCUUCUUCUUCUUCUUCUUCAAAAGCCAACAACCCUUCUGUUUAAUUUAGUGUCCAUCCUUCUCAGGGUUUAAUUUCACAGAUCACCCUUUUGUACUACUACUGCUAGCAUUCACUGGAACCAAACAUGGCGUCCGACAACUUUGCAAAGUUUCUUGGGCCUAGUUUGGGAGUUUGAGAGAGAGAGAUAGAGAGAGAGAGAUUUUGUAUGGUCCCAUAAAAAAUGGCUGUGAUGAUUUUACAUCUCUGAAUGGGAGCUGAGUUGUUUUUUUCUCCCUCAGGGCAAUUGAGGUGAACCGACCCGUAUCUUGGCAGGGCAACCCUGAUGGCCUGCAUGCAACAGGGUUUUGCAGCCAUGGCGGUGUUUCUCUACUUCUUUGCCCAAAGCCUAAAGUUUUUAAAAGAUCUGAGCCCAUUUUUCUCAAGGUUCACAUCGUUAGCAUGCCUUUCUGAAAUUGUCCCUUUACUCAUGUAGUCUCUAAGGGAUGAGGCAUUAUACUUCUUUCAACUGAAAGAUCGAAAGAAUGAUGGGGCAGAGAGAGUGUACUAUUGGGGCGAGUUUCUAAGGGUGGCUGCCCCUCUCUGCAUUUCCCCCAAUGAUUUCUCAGUCCUCAAACAAGGAAGAAAGAAUAAACCACCCUUGGAAAACGAAAAAGAAAGGAAUUCACAAAUAUCGUAUUAUUUGUUCUGGUUCUGGUACUGUAGCUGUGAUGCAAUUCACACGUGCUUUGUGAUGCAAUCCGGAUGGUAUGUUUUUAUGGGUUAUCCCUUCUCACAUGCAACUCGAUUUGCAGCCAUUGCGGAACCUUUCCCCCUUUACCCAUUUCUUUUAUAAAACUGAGCCUCGUUUUUUGUGUGUGUUCGAAUCUUGUAGAAAUCCUCCUUGAAUAGUGGUACCUGUCACUGGUAAUUUUUAGCUCAAAGAAUGAGGCAUCAGGGAGAUGGGAUUUCUUAGAAGGGUCGUUGCCCCUCUCUGUUUCGCCUGUGAUUUCUUCAUUACCCAAUGCAAAACCAACGGCCCUUCAUUACUAGUAUCUAGUAGUAGUAGUAAUAAUAAUAAUAAUCAGACUUCAGAAUGCAGCUGAUAUUGAGCUUGUUCUUGUAUGCUUUAGAUUUUGUAAAAGCUGAUUAUGGAAAGUGGCACUAGAGAAUAAUCAUAAUCAGCUGAGGCUACUCAUUGGUGGAUUUGGAUUUCAGAUUUUUUGGCCAUUAACAAAUGCAAAAUGCAGAUGCAAAAAAACAUUAUAAAAAAUGAUUAUCCAAAAAUUAGAAUCUAUGAUCAGGUGAAAUAAUAGACUGAGAACAAGCCUGUUGUUUCUGCUGCUGCUGGUGUUGUUGUUUUUGCUCUUUGAUGAAUCCAAAACAGAAAGAGGGUAGAAGAAAGUAAAGGCUGUGAUGAUGUUUCUUAUGAGCAAUGGAAUCAGGCAUUGAUUGAUGAGAAGUUGACCCGCAUCUUGGUAGGGCAACUCGGAUGGCAUACUGUUUCUAUGGGAGUGGUUGAUGACUGAUUAUGUUCCCUUUCAUGUAACCGGUGAUUUGCAGCCAUGGCGGUGUCACAUACUCAAUGCCUGAUGUACAAAUCUGAGCCUCAUAUUCAUCUUGUAGGAUUCCUUUUUCACAUUACUGGUCUUAUUGGAAAUAGAGUUUUUUUUUUCCCUGUUUAGUCUUCUAGCAUUUAUAGGUUGCUCUUUUUAUUUUGAAGGAUUUUCUGAUCUUUUCUUUUAUUGUAUAUGCUUUUUGGUUUUUCUCAUUUCUCUGCCGGCUUUUCUCAUAACUGCAUGGCCCAAUAUGAAUCACCACCAUGGCUCCAUUGGCUUUUUGUUUCUAUACACCAACACCGAGAUUUUACUGGAAAGGGUGCUAUUCUGCAAGUUUGUCAAGUGAUUGAUGCUGUCCUUGAUAUUAGAUUCAAGGAAGGAGGGGUGCCAAUUUGAUGGCGCCGGAGGUGGUUUGAUAAUCAGAUCCAACUUGUAUUUGAGUUGGCUCAGCAUACAAGGGAGAAUUUGUUAGGUGUAUCUAUGGGCUACUCCAGGUCUUGUUUGUAGGCAGCAGGUGCCCAACAACUACUCCCGUAUUACGGUGCCUGUUGGUAGAGCUGCUCUUGGCCGUAUCAUAAGCGUCAUUGGAGAAGCUAUUGAUGAUCAGAGGUGAAAUUAAAACUGAAAUUAUUUGCCAAUCUGUAUUUAGGCCUCAGCUUUCGCUGGUCAGUCUAGUGAACCAGAAAUUCUUGUUACUCGAACUAAGGUUUUACAAUUCUGCAGUUCUGCGCAGUUCAACUUGUCCUUGCAUGUGUAUGAUGCUAUUCAUGGCUCUUGUGAUUUUGUGUUCUGUUAGAGAGUUUUCUAGUUUCGGCUGUGCUAAAUACUUCAACUGUAGUUGAUAUUUUCAUUUUGGGUUUUCUUAUUUCUGUCGUCUUAUUGCAGGUAUCUGUGUUAAGUGUCUGUAGAAUUGUUCUUUCUAAAACUGGUGUAUUUCUUAUUGAAAUUUCUAGUGCAAAUAUGUAGGGCUACUGUUGCUGCACCACACUCUUCUGAUCAUAUUCUUGUUAUUUAUGGCUAGGUAAAAUUAUCUAGAAUCGGAUCAGUUUUAGUCUCUUCAUGUACAUCUUCAAGGAGAUCAGUUUCUCUCUUCCCAACUUCCUGGAGUUACCCAAGUUUCCGAUUUCUGACAUCGCAAGGAAUCAUAUAUCCUAUUUCCAUUUGUCCACUUUCUUUGGAUAGGCAAAGCUUAUACUACAUGGAUCUUGGGACGAUACUGAAGGGACCUUGGAUGCCCCUCUCUUUAGCAGCAACAACUUCUCUUCAACAUCAUGCAAAAAUGCUACCACAGCUUCCCAGUUCCCAGAACCAUGAAAAUGAAAAUGAAUUCUGUCGAGAAAGAAAAUAGAAAGGAAGCAUUGGCCCAGUUGCAAAAACUAACCAACCCGGCCAAAAAUUUAUUACAAAUUUCGCCCGGAACUUGUUUCCUUUGUGAUUCUGGUUUCUCAAGUCCAAGCCCAGCCAAGCACUAAUUAGAAGCAUAGGUGAAAUUUUAUUUUAUUUUUUUAUCAAAAUGCACAUAAAAGGCAUAUACUCAUAAAAAUUUAAAUCAUUGUAUUAUACUUUUAACUAAUCAAUGUGCAAGGCAAAUUUUCUUUUUUGCCUAUUAAUCCCUGAAAAGCAAAGUGUUAUUCUAAUCCAGUAACUGAGAUGGGCUGCACCAAUAGAUAAAUACGACUUGCCCAAAGCUCAGGAAACCGGGCAACAGUGACUAGCUGAAGCUCAGACCCAAAUCCGACGAGUAAAUUGGGAAAGUAUUAAACGUGUUUCUAGAGCCCAUUAACAUCAUUGUCACCCAAACAAAUAUUACGCAGGAAUGACUGGAAAAAGUGAAAACUGGGAGCUCCGAGACUGGAAUGAGGCGAGCAGGGAGACGGGAUUUCUUCAAGGGUGGUUGCCCCUCUCUGCUUCUUAGCCUUUGAUUUCUUUCUCUAUCACGUUACAGCAAAACCAACAUCCCUUCAUCGUUUGAGAGAAGGGUUAAUUACACUUAGCGCCCCUUUUUUUUUCGACUGAGUCGAACCAAACGGGCCCUUGUAUUCAUAUUCCCUGGAAAACCUCCCAGGAGCUUUAUUAGUUUGCGAGUUUAGGAAAGAAAAGAAAAGAAAGCAUCAAAAAGGCUGUGAUGAUUACUUUUCAUUCUCAGAAUCGGAGCAAGUUUUUCUUUUGCAGGGUAAUUUGAGGUGAACCGACCCGUAUCUUGGCAGGGCAACCCUGAUGGCCUGAAAAUGGGGGAUUCUUUCCCGUCUCCCUUUUGCAUGCAACUGGGUUUUUGCAGCCAUGGCGGUGUUUCUCUCCCUCUUUUGCUCUGAUGAAAGAUCUGAGCCAUUUUCUUUGAGGCGAAAUGAGGUAAUCAGAGAGAUUGGGAUUUUCUUGAAUUAAGGGUGGUUGCCCCUCUCUGUUUUGUAGUCUAUGAUAUCUUAGUUGCAUAAGUAAACAGCCCUUUGUGUUUUUUUGUUCAAGCGAGCGCUUUCGUGUAAAAGUUCUGAGCCAGUGUGCUUUUGAUGUUGAUGAUGAUGAUGAUGAUGAUGAUGAUGAUGAACUCAUAGUUGUUGUUGUUGUUGUUAGUGGUAGUGGUGGUGGUGGUGGUAGUAAGUGGUAACACUACAACGAAAUGAGCAAAGAAAAUGAGAGAUGGAAAAAGAGGCUAUGAUGAUGCUAUCGUAGUAAUAUUUCUUACGAGGAAAUGAACUAGCAUUGAUGGUAUAACCUGACCCGUGUCCUGGCGGGGCAACUGGAUGCAACUUUUGGUUUUGCAGCCAUGGCGGUGUCACAGUUCACGUCGUCAUCAAUGCUUGAUGAAAUGCAAGUUCUGAGCCUUGUCUAUGCUAUUAUAUGCAUUUCUACUUCUUGAGUUGGUUAUUUUAUACUUGUGAAUGGAAUGUGCAAGUAUGGUGUUGUAUUCCAAUCUAUAUGGAAAUAACCAUUUACUACACAAAGUGGGUUCGAAUACACGACCUUAAGUAAUUAACUUUACUUCGUUAAUCUUUCUUGAUCAGAGGGUUCUAUGGGAAUUCCUCUUUCAUCUCAAAGAAUGAAAGAAAUGAGGGCGCAGAGAGAGUUUUGGGGAGUUUCUAAGGGUGGUUGCCCCUAUCUCUGCUAUUUCCUGAUGAUUAGUUUGAAGAAAAAUAUAACAGCCCUAAUCAAGCAAAAGCCAAAAAAAAAAAAAAUAAUAAAUAAAAAGGAAAGGCAUGACAAAUGCCCUAGUACACUUUGGAUGGUUGUCUGAUCAUCACCAUUCGUCCGUCAUCUUUUCUUUUCCUCUGUUAAUAUUGGCUGUGAUGGUACAUCUUCUCUUGAGUUGCAGAUCAGGCAUGAUGCUAAUGGGACCGUAUCUUGGCAGGGCAACCCUGAUGAUAUGGGAUUUUCCCCACAUGCAACAGCGUUUGCAGCCAUGGCUGUUCCCCUUCCUCUUUGCCUGAUUUUGCUGCUCUACAUCUGAGCCUUUGUUUUGAUACAUGCGUGUAUGUGUGAGUUUUGUCCAAGAAAGGUGUUUGUUGCAACUUCUUUUCUGUUCAAAGUUGCCCUGGCAGGACAAAUAUUGCUCUGGAAUUAUGGUAACCCUUGAAUUGUUAAUUUAGCUCAAAAAUUGAUGCACCAAAGAGAUGGGACUUCUUAAGGGUGGUUGCCUCUCUCUGUUUUUAGCCUAUGAUCUCUUUCUUCAUCACAAAGAAGCCAACAGCCAUUGAGAGUUUAAAGCAAGGGUUAAUUGCACUUACCACCCUUUUGUUACUGAUGUGAACCAAAAGGCCCUCUUUAUUCAUACAUCAUGGAAAACUUCCAAGCCUCUAGUUUUCCAGUUUGAAAAAGAAAUGAAAACAUCAAAAAAGCUGUGAUGAUUAUUUACUCUCCAAAUGGAGCAAGUUUUUCUUUUGCAGGCAUUUUGAGGUGAUCCAGAACAUAUCUUGGCUGGGAAACCAGAAUGAUUCCAACAGAAGAGUCUGGUAAGUAUCUCAGAUUUGCAGCUGCGGGAGCAUCUCUUGGUCUCAUUGCCUGAUCACAGACCAACGCUAGUCUGUCCUCGUAGUGACCAAAAUUCAUUUAUCUUUCCUGAUAUGUAUCUCUCUUUAUCUAGACGAACUUUAUUCUUGUACAGAUUUGGGUGGAGCUGACGGGGUUACUCAGCUACUAGUAGUUUAUCAACCUAAGUUGGGUGAACCUCAGUUAGAUCCUCAUUACCCAUUCCUGUUGUUGCCUUAAACAGCAGUAGUGAAAAUCAGGUUACUACUAUUGCUGGCAAAAUGUAAAGGGAUGGUCCACUAGGAAGUAUCUGAUCCACAAAAAUGAGGUUGUAAUUAUGCACUGCUAAUAGCUAGUAUUGAUUCAGAAGAUCAAAUAUUGGUCUUGGCUGGGAAACUCUUUUCUAGAAGUAUUUUGAUGUUUGGUGGUUCAUAGGAUAUUGAAUUAUCAGCCAUGUUGGUAUUGUAUUGGGUAUCUCAUAUGCUUUGUGUCUCAACUUUGUUCUGAAUAUAAUCCAUCUUUAAAUAAAAAAGAGCAAAGAAAGAGCAAAAUUUUGUUCUGGUACUGCUUUUUCUUUAGUUCUAUCGUUGUGUGAGCUUUGGUGCUCAUCACUUUAGUCUAUCUUUCCAAACGUACCCUACUUUUUUUUAACCUUUUGAGAUGGAUUCCUUCUGGACAUGAAUUGCAACAACAUUGCCAGUUAUGAAAACCAUACCUUUUUAAGAAAGGGGAUGGGAAAGAUACCUUGGAAAGAAAAGGCCAUUGGAUAAUAGGACAGGACUGAAAUCCGCACUAGUAUUGUGCCUUUGGGAAAACAGUAUCAAUCCCAAAAAAGGUGCAAUGUCUUUGGCUAUUUCUAGCAUCAGCUGCUAACGCUGCAAGAGCUUCCUUGGCAGGUGCUGCAUGAGCUUCUUUGUCUGUGUGGUCUAGAGGGGGCUUCUGCUGCUACUUUUGCUACGAGUUUGAGGGAUGCAUUUGUUGGAUCUUAUGCCCUGAUCGUCCUCGCGUUGUUUUAGGGGUGGGGUAUGUAUCUACUAAUAUUCUUUGACUAUGACUUUGAAUAGUCCGUGGUUAGAAAAAUAGCUCCAAGCAAAGGUUGUACCUAUAUUUGCUUCUUUUUUAUGGUACAGGUUUGUGAAUUUGCUUGUAAUUGAAUUUACAGCCCCCUUACAUUAUGGUAUUAAUUUGUUUUGGUAGUGGCGCAUAGAUUGCCGUAGAUUAUGAUAUCUGUGAUCUCAUGGACUAAAUCAUAGCUUCAGUUGCAGAGCUUCACAUUAGACGUAGAUUGCAGAGUUGUUUACUUAGAGAUGCUUGCUGUUUAUGCUCAAAAUCACAGAUUACAGGCUGAAUAGUGUUAAUUGAUUAUGGCAGUAAUAUGAUGCUGAAAACAAGUAAUCUUAAAUAACAAAUGCAAAAUGUAAAAAAAAAAAAAAUCACAUCCAAUGUUUAAAAACUUGGCAGUUUAAAUAUAGGGUAUUGACCCAAGUUGAAGUACCAACUCCAUAGUUUUUUCGUAUUUUUGCUAUAACCAAAUAUUAUCUGUUUAUUAUCUGUUUAUCUGUGUAGGCUAAAAUAUCGCAAUAAUCUAAAAAAGAAAAAGAAAAUUUAUGCAUCUUACGAUACACAGAAUCAAUUAAUCAAUAAUAAUAUUUCCUAAAGGAUGGAGUGCUGGACGCUUUUUAAUGAGUGCCAAUAACAUCUGUCAAAAAUAAUCAUUCCAAUUUUAGGCAUGUAAAUGGGAAAAUUCUAUGAUCCUGUUUUAUCACCGUUCCCUCAACUUAAAUACCACACUAAAGAUAAAUACUUUAAAUUUUAAAUAUUUAAUAAUAUUUAAUUUAAUUGUCAAUAACACUUCAUUUAUCAUUUAACAGUGAAUUUUAUUUGUAACUAUAAUAUCCAAAAAAAAAAAGAGUAAAAUCUCCCUACUUUAUACGUGCUAUUCUUCUUUUUUUUUUUUUUUUUUUUACUCAGAGGGUAUCCGGGCUUUGGGUAUGCCGGAUCCGACUAAUUCCCUGAGGUCCGAGUGGAGAGGUUCCAUCUCCUCGAACCGAUAACCACUGGGACUCGAUCCCUGGUGGGGGAGAAUGGACAACGCGACCUUAGGAGACUUCUCGUGAUCAACCGAGCUGCCCAGGAGGGACUUAUACGUGUUAUUCGAUAUUGGACCGAUCAUUCAUCAUUAUUCAUUAACUAUUGCUGAUGAACAAUACUUUAUUUUCCUCAGAAAAAAAAACCAUACUUUGUUUCCAAAUUAGUAAACCCCGUCCCGUCACUCCCGUGCGACCCAUGCAUCACCUUCUAAAUUACGCUCUUAGUCCAUCAAAGUCAAACCAACUCGGGUAACAAACCGUGCCAGGUAAUUAAUUUGACCCAAAAAGGAAAAACCCUUUAAAACCCAAGUACUCACCCAAAGAAAGAGUUAAUUUGACGCCAAGGUGUCUGCUCCGGGAGGCUAAGAACGAGGCAAUGGAGAAAGAUGGGAAUUCUGUAAGGGUGGUUGCCCCUCUCCGUUCUGCCCAUGACUUCUUUUUUUCAUUUUCUUGAAAGAAAAUGAUAAUAACCAACAACCCUUUAAUCUUUAGUCUUUCUUUUGCUGUUUUCUGGGAUAAUUUCAUAAACCUCCCCUGAGCUGUUUCUGUGGAGUACUACUACUGAUUCUGAUGAUUCUAGUUCUACUCCAUACCUUUAUCAAGCGCCCCCUAAUCCUUUGGAAGAUCCUGAGUAGAAGAAUAAGGCUGUGACGAUCUUCGUCUUGUUAAAUUCUCGGAGCAAGUCAGGCUUUGAGGCAUGCUGACCCGUAUCUUGGCGGGGCAACCCGGAUGGCGUUGUGGUAAGGGUGCCAGAGGUUGGCUUUUCUUCCUUACACGCAGCAACCGGAGUUUGCAGCCAUGGCGGUGUCACAUUUUCUUUGCCUGAUUCAAUUACACAAAUCUGAGCCUUCCACUCUGUUUUUUCACUCAUUUUAUCUGUUCAUUCGUUGAGUGUGUUCAAUUGGGAGCUAAAGUUUUGCUUCAGAUGAUUUAAUUGUCAGUCAAUUUUUUGAUUUUUGGGUUGAGAUAACUGUCGUUAAGAUUCCUUUUGGCAUGUCGUCAAAUACGACAUGAACAAAAUUCAACCUUGAUUUGGGAUUUCCUGAUUUUUAUACGUGGUCAAAGCUUCAGUCCCUCCGGUUGGAUGUGUUUUGGUAAACCACUUCUUUUGGUGAUUAGUGAAGUUAGACCUUCUACAUUUGUGGGCUUCUAGCUUAAACCUAUCCUUUUGCAAAAUCAGGCUUUUCUGUGUUGAGAUUGUGGUUUUGCAUGUUAGCAAAUUUUAUCUCCAUUAAUGUUGCUCUAAAUUUGCUGUUGUCGUGGUCCUUCCCAAUUUUAUUUUGUAUUUCAGUUUUUUUGUGAAUGGUUCAUUGUUGGAAAUUAGCUCUUUGCAAAGUUUGUACUUGGAGAGUUUUCAUUUCUUCAGUACAGGUUUGUGUAUUUACUUGCAGUUGGGUUUUAAAAAAAAAAAAAAAUCUUUUACUUAGUACUGUAUCUUUAACAUUGAAUUUUGUAUCUUUAUGAUGUCAUGAGCUGAAUCAUGGCUUCAGUACCAGAAAUUUCGCAUAAGUUGCACAAUUGUUGCGUAGAGAUGCGUGCUGUUUAUGUUCAAGCUCAGACAAAUAGGAGGGUUAAAUAAUAUGAGUGGAAUAUGAAACUUUGGUGCCUAAAACAAUCAAUCUUGAAGUACCAAUGCAACAUGUAAACAUAUACAUCAUAUUUAAAAACUUGGCAGUUUCAGGAUAGGGUAAUGACCCAUACUGAAGUACUAAUGGUAUUUUUCUCUUUAGAAUUUUCACCUCAUGAAGCUCUAAGCCAUACAAUAGGUUUUGUGUCAUCACACAGUUCCAUAUUUUUUUUGUCUCUUGCUUAAUCUCAUCACCAUUACACAAACCUCAAAUAUCAGAAUGGUUUUGUUUGUCACUGGCCAAACAGUUUUUUGACUUACAUUUCGCAGGAAAGAGAAUUGAUGUGUCUUACACACACAGUCAAUUAUUCAAUAUUAGGUGAAUACCAUCUAGAAUCACUGGUAUUAUUACAUGUGCUAAUUUGGAGCUUGGUAGCGUUGGAGGUUAGAGUUUCAGAACACGACUCAGUCUUCACCUUUCCGAGAUGGAAAUGACCUUAAAGUACCAUCAGAAAUUUAGUCAUUGUGGACUACAGCCAGAUGUUGCAGCCCUCUUUUUUUUUUUUUUUUAAUAAUUCUGCAGCUUGUCUGUUUUAUGUUCUGACGGUGGCAAGGAAGAUUUUUUAGCUAACCAGGCUUUCAUUUGCAAGCAGUACAUGUGGUUAGCAAACUCAACUAGUUCAGGACAGAAGGUUUUCAAGAGGAAGAAAACUCGCCGCCAUUUUGGUUCUGUCACAUAUCUUUCUUUCCUGCAUAUUGCAACCACAAUUGAUUUUGCACAAGCACUAGUACUCAUGACUGGCAGCUGAUUAAUAAAAGUCUGCAAACAUCCGCAACCACCGUUUACAUUUGAUGUCAUUUAAGAUUGCAUUCUUGUGCUUAAUAAAAGAAAUUUGACAUCUUUAUUAGGUCCAGGUAUCUUACACUUGCCGAAUCUGAGUUUACUUGAGUGAUUCCUUCUCUGUCGAGGUACUUCCCUUUGGACAUCUCUGGCUCUAUAACACCAAGAGUUGCAGUAGUUAUGGAGAUUUCUGGAGCCAGUUCAGCUCUCAUUGUCUCGUAGAUGCUGAGCAAUGCUGCUUUGCUUGCCUAAAAAAUCAUUAGUGCAGUUUAAAAGUAUUUACUGGUAGCGAAAGUGUUAUCAGGCAUUGAGUGCAUUUGUGUUUCUAACAGCAUAGAUGCUAACUCCUGGUGGAUUCAAAUGUGAACCAGCUGAUGCACUCACAAAAAUCGACCCCUUCAUUCUUUUCAGGUAAGGCAUUGCAAAGUAAAUCGGACAGACUGAUUCCCAAAAGUUCACAUCCUGUACCAUUUGAAUUAAUGUCAAACUUGGUUGUGCGUGUAUGUGGGCAUAUAUACCAGAAUCUUAAAAAUUACGAUAACCGGCUCAAAUUCUGUAAUAUCAAUAGCAGUUUCAAUCAGGCACAUAGAAGCAAUUCCUGCAUUGUUGACGAGAUGGUCCACUACAAAGAGACUGAUUGGAUUUCUACUCGUAUUUGUAUCAUAAAAGGUAGACGUUGAAAGACUCAAAACCAGAUGGAAAAUGCAAUAAUAUACAGCAAGGAAGGCCGAAGAGAAAGGUGCCGAAGACAUGGAAAAUGCAUGCAUCAAACUGAAAUUGUUGGAGAUUGGAAUGUACAGUACCUCCCCAAUUCCUGAUGAUUCACCUGUGACAGUAGUUCCCUUGGAUGCUUUCAACUGAAAAAUAAUCAUAAAAAUCGUCAGGAUUUUUUAGAUGUAGGAAAAAAGGUAGGAGAGUCCAAAGGAACAUUAGGACGAGGAAUCAGACGAAUCAUCAAAAUAGAAAAACCAUAGCUGAGGAAGGAGCAAUGAGACUGUGGCUGGCUUGUGUGCCUCUUAGGUAUUGGAUUCAAAGCUGAACUGAUCUCCCACUUAUUACUCUUAUACCUUUGUCUUUAUACCUUUGUAUUGCUUACAAAAGUUGACAAACAAAUUGCUCCAUUGGUUUUAGGAGGAAAACAGAAAUGGAUAACAGAAAAAUGGAAGGCAUCAUGGCAGAGAAACCUAGCAGGUAAGUUAUUAUGUAUUAGAGUUCAAGUGAUUGUAAUCAGUUCAACGAUUAAUGAUGGUCCUUUUGCACUGAUGAAUAUCAGUUUAUGAGGGGAUGAUUCUGUAUCAAUAUAGCUUCAUGUGCCAGCAUCUUGGAGACGGCAUUAUUAAUUGAGUCCUAGUGUGGGAAUCUAUCGAACUCGUCUAAUUGAAUGAAUGAAGGAGAUGGGACGAAAGGAUGCACUACCUAAUUUGAAGGCUACUGAACUUUUUGAGCUAGAGGGGUACUAUGAUAAUAAAACUUCUGUUAGCAAGAUGUAGCAACAUCUUGAUCAGGCAUUAAGUACAUACAUCUAGGUUUCUCACGGAGUUUUUUUUUUUUUGACAAGAGAACCUGCAUCUGCUACUCGAGAGUGCGUAUCGGGUAAAAUCCGCCUCGUGUAAUAGCCUACCAACCACACGGAGAGAUACAACGCAUUACGUUUCUCAUGGAGUAGAUACUGAAUCCUGUUGUGUUCAUAAUUGGACUAGCUGAUGCAUUCACAAAAAAUUAACCCCUUUGUCCUUACCUUUCAGGUAAGGCAUAGCAAAGUAAGUCGGAUAAACUGAUCCCCAAAAUUUUGUAAUAUCAGUAGCAUCUUCAAUCAGGCAUAUGGAACCAAUUCCUGCAUUAUAGACGAGAUGAUCCACAGCUAAACAGAGAUUGAUUAGGCUUGUUCCAUACUUCUACACGUAAAAAGGAAGACAUUACAAACAAAAACCAGAAUAUAAUAUUAAUACCGGAAAUACUAAUCUCUAUUCAUGCCAAUCACUCUAGCUAGCUUAUUACCAUAUGCUUAUUAAUUAGUAUUAUGUUAGAGAUUAAAUUAUGUAUAGUCUUUUGGGAAAAUCGCCAAUUUAGUCCCUAAACUUUUUUUUUCCGUCAAUUUAGUCCCUAUAUAUUAUUUCUAGCCAAUUGGAUCCCUAAACCUAUAUAUCGGUUCCAAUCAAGGAUCUUUGCAGCGGCGCCACCGUAUAAUUUCCAUUAGGUUCAUAAUCGUGCAAUACAAAAGGGGCAUUUUAGGGAAUUCCAUUCUGGCGCCUUUUCCAAUUAAAAAGUAAAUCGAUGUAAAGCCUAAAUCUAGGUACUACCUCUCUUGCACCAAAGAGAGCUGUCCAAUUUUUGCAGACCCGCGUAGAAAAAGCACUGUAAUUCAAUGCAUUCGAGAAAGAAUUGGGACAAAGCAUCCUCAAGCUCAGCCAGUGAUCAAUUUAUUAACACCGUCAAAGGAUCAAAUGGUUCAGAAACAGGAAACUCGAUUUAUGAAGGAAACGAGAAAUACUACAGUGGAGACAACAUCGUGCGAUGCUAUUGCCAAGAACAAUGCCGAAUUGUGACUGCUUGGACAGAGGCAAAUCCAUCAAGAAGGUUUCAUGGUUGCAGAAAUUAUGGGGUAAUUUUUUUGUAUGUGCAUAAAGUUUAGAAUUUGUUAAAAUAUUUCUUGUCUUUUAACUAUGAAAUGGUGGUAAAUGCAGAAACGUGGUGCUUGCAGAUUUUUUUUGUGGUAUGAUCCACCCAUACCCCAAAAGAUGAAAAAUAUAAUGGGUGCACUUUUAAGGGACCUGAGAAGUGUUGAGAGAGAAAACGCAGCAUUAUUGAUUGAAAUGAACAAGUUGAAGGCAAAAGUGAAAAUAUUGUUUAUAAUUUGUAUCUGUUUUGGCGUUUUACUUGUUUUUGUACUUGGAGGCAAGGAAAGGAAGAAACAAGGUUUGCUGGAAUUGAAGAUGUUGCAGUAGUUUUGAAGAAUGUAUGGAAUUGUAUGGUUCAUCUGUACUUUAAAAUGAAGUAAAUACAAUUGAGUUUUCAUCUAUGUUUGACUCUGUUUUGCUUCUGGAUUUGUUAUUACUCUGUUUUGCAUCUGGAUUGCUCAUGUAAGUUUCUGUGACAAGUUCAAUGUUAUGCUGACAAUGUUGACUGAAGUGGAAGAAUUGCAGAAGUGAUGGCCAUUAAAAAAUUGGGUAAACAACAAAAAAGCCCCCUGUGGUUAGGCAAUGAUACAUAAAAACCCCUUGUGGUUUCAUAUCAUACCAGUCGAUACCCCGUGGUUUGAAUUAACCUGAAAAGUGGACGGAAAUCGUCAAAUAUUCGGCGUGUGUCUUAAACGAACUGCAAAGGCGCGUGCAUAUGCGAAAAACAGAUUUCCACCACAAACUUUCACCUGAUAUGCCUAUUUUAGCCUUCACUCUUUAAUAAUAAGAGACCAGCUUCCGUUUCUUCUGAGUCUUCAUUCAAUCUGUUUCCAGAUUAUUCAUUAACUACUGUAGACACCAAAUUUUUAGUGUAUUUUUAUUUACUGUUAUUUUUAUUUUUCAUGCUAGUUUUUAUUUACUUUUAGUCUUUUAUUUUUGUUUUAAGUCAUUUUAGCAUAGAAUUUAUUUUUUUUUUUAAAAAAAAAAGAGGGAAACCCGCAAGCGGGUUUCAGGCUAUUUAACAAAUUACUUUAAAAAAAAAAUUUUUUUUUACAUGCAAGCUGCGUUGAGUUGCACAUGCCCAUCGGAGGGCCCUAGGAUGCCCAGCAAACCUCCCCUCUCAUCCUCACCCUUCAGGUGAGGGUUUGAGAGUAUGUGUUUGAUAUAAAUAGAACAGAAACGCAGCUUUUAGUCAUUUUACAUAAGGGGGAAACCCGCAAGCGGGUUUCAGGCAGGCUAUUUAACAAAUUACUUAAAAAAAAAAAAUUUACAUGCAAGCUGCGUUCUUCAAAAGGGUAUUUUCGUCUAUUCACUCAGCUCCGUCUGUUUUGCCGAUUUCCGUCCACUUUUCAGGUUAAUUCAAACCACGGGGUAUCGACUGGUAUGAUAUGAAACCACAGGGGGCUUUUAUGUAUGAUUGCUUAACCACAGGGGGCUUUUUUGUUGUUUACCCUAAAAAAUUGUUGCUCAGUCGAGUCAUUUGCUUUCUUAUGCCCUCCGAUUCCUUAUUUAACACGAUUUGCUUUGAUUUUAUUUAGCAGAUCAUCGACUCAAGCCCUGGAUUUUGUCCAAGACAUUUUUUGUUUUCAUUUUGGAUUUUUGGGUGUGUAUUUAUCGCAGACUUGUUUCGUUUACUUUUUAAUUGGAAAAGGCGCCAGAAUGGAAUUCCCUAAAAUGCCCCUUUUGUAUUGCACGAUUAUGAACCUAAUGGAAAUUAUACGGUGGCGCCGCUGCAAAGAUCCUUGAUUGGAACCGAUAUAUAGGUUUAGGGAUCCAAUUGGCUAGAAAUAAUAUAUAGGGACUAAAUUGACGAAAAAAAAAAGUUUAGGGACUAAAUUGACGAUUUUCCCUAGUCUUUUUGGACAUUAUAUAAAAUAUUAUAUGAUAUCCCACCAACUGGAUUUGGGUUCGGGGAGGCCCAAAAUUAGGGUUGCCUCGAACUCGUGGUAAGAGAAACAGUAAAAGGGCUCCAGGCUUUGAGCCCUUGACCCAUCCAACAAUCAAGAAUGGGGUUUGACAGGGAAGAGUAUCCUUAUGGAGUAUUAUAUAUCUAACCCCUCAUCCAACGAUGCUUUAACAUUUUCAGCUCUCUAAGAAAAUGAGGCGAACAGAGGGAUUGGGAUUUCUGUGAGGGUGGUUGCCCAUCUCUGUUUCUCUGCCUGUGAUUUCUUCUCGCUCUUUUGAAAACCAACAGCCCUUCUUCGUGGAACAGUUCUUUUCUCAGCUAAUGACUUUAAUACUCCCAUGUGACUUUCCUGCGAACCAAACGGAGCCUUAAUGAUCUCUAACGUCUUGCUUCUUCUUCUUGACAUGACUGACCCUUGUACUUCUUCUUCUUCUUCUUCUUCUUCAUCUGCUUCUAAGGCAACAAGAGGGCUGUGAUGAUUUAACUUGUAGAGCAAAUGGUCAGUGUGUUUGAGGCAAAUCCGACCCGUAUCUUGGUUGGGCAACCCGGAUGGCAAAUGUGAGGGAGAGGGGGAGAGGAGGGGUUUGAGAGGAUCCAUCCCUCUUUCUGGGGUUGGGUCCUCUGUCUGUUUUAAUUUUCAGUGUUUCCCUCACGUCACGUUGCAACCGGUGUUGCAGCCAUGGCGGCGUCACUUUCUGUUUCCCUGACCUAAUUUAGACAUAUCUGAGCCUUAAAACUUCAAAAGUGUCCGGUAACAGCUUAGGAAAAUGCUGUAUAAAACGUUGGUUUUUGUUAUUGGUUGAUUUUGCAUUUUUAGGUUGUUUCGCCUCUCCCUUUUAAGCUUUGGAUAUAUUAGAGUCAGGUUAAUGUGGAGUUAGAGGUCUCAGCUUUUACUAGCUAGGUAGUAGUAACUGGUAAGAAGGAAUACUUACACUGGCCAUGUUAAGCAACGAUCCACUAUUCAACAUGUCAUUUUGUCAGGUCAAGAUAGUAAUAUGAAAGUUCUGAUCCAUUGAAGAGUAUUCUUGCAAAAUCAGGUGCUGAUGAGCAAUUGGAUACCACUGCAAAAUAUUACCACUACUUUGGCCUUGAAUCUAAUUUGUGGAAUACCCUUCUGGAAUGUUUCGAAAGUGUACCAUUCCCUUGAUUUACAUCAUCAUGCUAAGUAGCUAAAGUUGUUGCUACUCACCCGAUGCGCUAGUAUAAAGUUGCUUUGGUAAGAUUUUUAAGUGUUUUGAUACCAUUUUGAGGUUGGUUACUUUGUAGUAAAAAAAAUAUUGCUGCUGUUAUUUUGAAUCUCUCUGGUUUGACUGGUUGCCAUUUUUUAAAAGAGCAGAGGGAGAUUGUCAGAAAAAUAGGAGAAUCUUAUCAGGAACAAGUUAACAGGCGUUUCCUGGGGUUUAUGAUAAUUAGUGGUAGUUCCCCUUUGUGCGAUGUUUCAAGUUUCCUUCCUUUGUCCUAUCACCUGACUAUUUUUCAGUGAAAGAUGAAACAAAAAUUCUAGCAGCCAUCUCAUCCCAGAAAAAAAAAGACUAGCAGCCACUGCACCUCACGCUCGCCCAAGUCUUCUCCUUCUUGGCGUCUAUAUAAUUGAAAUUCAAUUCCCAAAUGAAGAAUCCAAACAAAGUAAAUCAUCUAACUUGAAACCAUUUUUAUCAAAUUGUAGUUUUAGAAUGAAGCAUGAUGACCUGAUUUGAACAACGGGAUGGUUAGUGUCUGUGAACUGUUUAAAGAUGUCAGCUUUCGUGUUAUGAAUCUUCCACCUCUGUUCUCUCUAUAUGAUCUAAUAUAAGCUGUUACGCUGAUGAAUAUCCAUGAAAAACAAUGUCCCAAAACAGACACUUAAUUUGCAUGUUUCGUGACGCAAAAAUAGAACCAAUUGCCGACUCCAACGACAAUGAUCACCGGCUUUUCAUGGCUUGUGCUGGGAUGAUGACUUCAUUAGGAAAAAGAUUAUCUAGAGUUUGCACGCUACAGCCAAAAACUGCAGCUAGUCUGAUUUACUUUGUGAACGAGGAGGCACUGGAGUAGCCUUUGCUCCCCAGGAUUUUAUCUUCAAGCAGUGUUGGUAGCUAGCCCAUUCAAUUAGUUCAGGACAUAAUAUCUUCAGCAGGAAUAGGACCUUGCACCAUUUGGGUACUGUCACAUAUCUUUCUUUCCGGCAUACCGAGUCCACCAUUGCUUUUGCACAAUCAGGGGAGCUCACGGCUGGCAGCUGAUCAGCAUCUAAAAAAACCUGCACAAAAACAUAAUCACCACAAUAUUCAAUGAAUUGCUCAUUUUAGAUGAACUUCUCUUUUUGAUUAUAUUGUUGAAGUACCUAAUUACCCAAGAGAACUUUCAAACUUUUUAUAAACUAUAUGAUCAGAUGUCUUACAUUUACCAACUCUGAGUCAAAUUCUGUAGUUCCAUGCUUGGUCAUGUGUUUCCCUUUGGUAAUCUCUGACUCUACAGGACCAAGAGUUGCAAUUGUUAUAGAGAUUUCAGAAGCUAGUUCAACUCUCAUCGUCUCGUAGAAGCUGACCAAAGCCGCUUUACUUGCCUGAAAAAUCAAUUAUAUACUACGACAUUUUCGAACAGUUUACCUGAAAAGAAAGCCAAAUACGUCCAGAACAGAAUAAGCUCAUGCAAAGUAUCUUACAGAAUAGAUGCUCAAUCCUGGUGGGCUCAAAACUGCAGCUGAUGAUGCAUUAACCAAGAUGGAUCCCUUGGACCUUUUCAGGUGAGGAAUUGCAAAGUAAGUCGGAUAAACUGAUCCCCAGAAGUUCACAUCCUGAAAAUUCGAAGUACAUGGAACUUGGUUUAAUAGAUUGAUUCCUACACUCUCUAAACAGUCAACUCAUGACGGUUAAUUACCAUAACAGGUUGGAGGUUUGUAAUGUCAGCUGCAUCUUCAAUUAAGCACAUGGAGACAAUUCCGGCAUUAUUGACAACAUGAUCCACUGCAAAUAAACUGAUUAGUGAUUAGGCUCUUUUGUAAAACUCUAUACGCUUCUUGCAAAAGUUGGUGAUGGAAAUACUUACAUCUGCCAAAAUGGUCAACUGUUUCCUCAACAAAUCUCUUGCAGUCAUCGACCUUGAGUACAUCUGCACAUAUGGGGACAACGUCCGGCGAGCCAAGUUUCCGGGCAUUUUCUGCCACCUCCUUGAGGAGAUUCUCCCUCCUGGCAACAAUAACUAGACAAGCUCCUCUUUUGGCAUAUUCAUAUGUCAAGUGCUGCAUCCAUAUGAAUAUUCAUCAUUCUUCUAGAACUUGAUGGGAUGGUAAAUGGUAAUCACAAAUGAUCAAGAGCGACCGAAAUGGAACCGUGAGAACAAAAUCAUGGAUUUGAACGUACCUCUCCAAUUCCUGAUGAUGCACCUGUGAUUAGAACUACUUUUCCCUUGAUGUCUUCGGUUGAAAAGUAUCUGUAGAAAAACAUCAGGAACUUGUAGAUGCAGAAGAAUGGUAACAGGAUCCAGAGAAUGGUCUGGAUGACGAUCAUACGAAUCGUUCGUGAGAGAGCCAUAGUUGACCAGCUGCUGUGGCCUAUGUGAUUAAGAAUGUAAUUUAUUUUCUAAAGAGUUGGUUAGGUGUGCAGAUGUUGUCUAGUUAAAUACGCAUUCAGCGACGUAAAAAUAGGCCAUUUCCAUCUUGACGCAGAUUAAGAAGGGUAAGUUUGUGUAGUUAAUGCAAUUAUUUUUACUUAAUACUUUCUUCAUGUAUCCCUCAAUUAAUACUAAUUUUAGUGCUGUAUUGAUUACUCUUAUUAGUAAAUAUUUAUUAAAAAAAGAUGCACAUUAAAUAUGAACAUAGUGUGAUAAACAAACUAUGCACCUCAUUAUCUGUUAGGUGAACAUUUCAAGUUUUUUUUUUUGGCUAGAAAAUAGUAUAAGUCAUGUUUUGAACGUAUUCUUUUUUGGUAUUUUGAACUUUUUUUCGAUUAAGUAUGUUUUGAAAAUACUUAUUUUAACAAAUGCCUCCUCAAUUAGUUAGUCUACUUUUUGUAAAUUGAUUAAUAAAUGUGGUCAGAAAAAUUGGGAAUGAAGUGUAUUGUACUACAUUAGAUGACAUUAGAAUUUUGGAUCCAUCUGCAAUCUAGUAUUUGUCUCAAUACUAGACGUGUAGUAUUUAUCUUUGUUCAAUGUGGGAGUGACAACUCAACAAAUGAUAAGUGCAAUGAUUGAUGAAAAUAAAUAUUCAUAUAAAAUGUCCUAUUUCUGCCUUGGGUUAUGACCGGUUGUUGUAGAUGCAUAACCAGGAACAUGUGUAUUAAAAAAUGAAAGAAGUGGGGCCUGGCUUACAGAAACAAAAGUGCAUAUUCUUGUAUUGUACCGUCCACGUCUUUAAAAUUUAUGGUCUUCCCAACGAAUUUGUAUCAGACAAAAUUCAAUCUAGUUGUACAGCAACUAGAUUAUCCGAGGAUUAGUGCCAAGGUAUGCUGUCCAAGUUGCAUUCAAUGCCUUCACCAACAGCCACUCAAGCUUUUGGAAAUGAGUUAUUAAAAAUUUAAUGAAUGAAAAUGGUUGUUGUGAAUAAUAAAUGGCAUUACUUUGAACCUAUACUAUAAAUUGUUCAAGAAUGGCAAGGAUCCAUCACAAUGUAUAUGGAAGAAAAGUAGGCGGAAAAUCAACAAAGAAAACCUCCCAAAAUUGAAAAGAAUAUAAGUAAUAUUUAUUAAAUUUUGAUAAAGACCACGUUUGUGUUUUUUAAAUAAUUAGAUAAAUCACUAAUGUUAGAGGAAAAUGUUAUCUGUGGGUCUUGCAUUAUGCGGUGGGAUAUGCAUCUCUUUGUCUGAUUAAUUUUUACGAAGUACAAAAUAGUCAAUUUUUAUGCAACUAAUUUUGUGUUUAAUUAUUUUCACUAAGUUUUGGGUCACUAUUUGACUAUUGGUUCCGUCAAGGACAUGGAUUUGAUGUCAUAAUAAUAAUUUAAAAUAUUAAUAGAGGAAUGUUAUAGACAAUAAAAACUAUGUAAGGACAUAGUUUUCAUGUAUGUAAAUUUGGAAGAAAGAAUCGGAAUAAAUUAUCAGCGAGAAAGUAUUGGAAGAAAACAACCAACCAAAUUGUGAAUGAGUUUGUGUCCAGAUGAAAUAGUAAACUAUUUUCGUCCAUUUAUGACUUUUAUUGUAAGUAAGGUAGUGGGAGAAAAUGGUGGAUAAUUAACAUAAAAACCUCUUUUAAGACUUUAAAUCCUAUUACUAAGUCUGGAGUCGUAAAUUAGUCAAUGUUUUUUUCCUGCUACUCCAUUGUUUUUUCUUUGGUAGGACUAAAUUUAAAGAUUUAACUAAUUUUUUUUUAAAAGAAAAAAAAAAAGGAAUGACAUGUAUUACAUUUUUUUGUAUAAUUAAUUUAAUUAUGAAUUUUGUGGAAGAAGUGAAGUUUAAAAGCGGCGUGUUUAUAUUUUUGAAUUCAUAUAUCAUGUGAAGUUGAAGUACUAAGUCUGUUUACGUGGGAAUGAAAUGUAGUAAAAAGGAUUUGAGCAUUGAAUACCAAUUCUGGCAGUACGUGAAUGCUAUAUACUAAGCAAUCUUUUGUUUUGUAGGAAAAAAAAUGGAAGAUGGUGAAGGCAUGUGUGGAAGACAAUCAAUGUUAAAUUUAAAUGAAUAUCCAGAAGACCCAUAUGUAGAUGUGGAAGGAAAUGGCAGUAGAGAGACUGGGGGUGAAGAAAAUGUCAAGAGCACUGCAAUUGAUAUCGCCUUCGAUCAAUUUUGCGUGGAUGACAUUGAGAGUGAUGAAGUGAUGAAAAUGACAUUUCCGUCCGAGUCACAUGCCGAGCUAUUUUACAACACAUACGCAAGAGCAAUUGGGUUUAGCAUCCGUAAAAGUGAUUUCAAGAUGUUUGACAGUGAGAUUGUGAAAUACAAAAAAUGGGUGUGCUCGUGUGAAGGAGAGCGCAAUCCAAAAUGGAGAAAUCUUCAAAAUAGACAGAGGGAGGCAAAACCCGACUUUAGAACAAAUUGCAAAGCUUGUUUUCGGAUAAAGUACAAGCCCAGUGAUGAAGUUUAUGUUGUAACCAACUUUUGGAAAGAACACAAUCACCCAUUAGCAAGCAAAUCAAGUGUCCAAUUCUUGCGAUCACAUAGAGCUGUGAAUGAUGCAGAUUAUGCUCUAGCCAGAAGCUUGCGAAGGAUGGGUGCCAGAACUAGUCAGAUCAUGAAAUUUUUUAUGUUGCAAGCCGGUGGGUAAAGCAAUUUGAGAUUCAUGUUGAAAGAUCUAUACAACAAGAUAGAUGCUGAGAGGAAGAAAGAAAUUGCUGAUGGCGAUGCAGAAUGUGUAGUUGCAUUCUUGGCUGGAAAGCAAGCUAAUGAUCCGAUGUUUUAUUAUUUGUACCAAUUGGAUGACGACAGUAGACUGCGCACUCUUUUUUGGGCGGAUUCACGGUCUCGAGAUGAUUACCGUUAUUUUGGAGAUGUAUUGAUAUUUGAUUCAACAUACAAGAUGAAUGAAUAUCACAAGCCAUUGGUUAUUCUUGCUGAGGGUAAACAAUCAUUUCCGAACCUGUGUCUUUGCUUGUGCACUGAUGUCAGAGGAAAAUGCUGAUAACUACAUUUGGAUAAUUUAGACAUUCAUAUCGGCAAUGUUCAGGAAGAAGCCUGUAUCAGUUCUAACAGAUGGUGACAAAUCGAUUAGGAAAGCAAUUAAAACUGUUAUUCCAGAAGCACACCACCGAUUAUAUUCCUGGCACUUUCAACAAAAUGCCAAAACAGGUGUGAAAAACUAUGAUGACUUUUUUGAGGGCCUUCAUAGAUGUGUGUAUUCAAACUACACUGAGGAGCGGUUUGAACUGGAAUGGAGGAAAUUAGUCAAGAAUUGUGCACUACAUGACAAUGAAUGAGUGAAAAUAGCUUAUCGUCGGAGAAGGUUGUGGGCACAUGCAUACUUAUGGGAAAAUUUCUUCGCGGGAAUGAGAAGUACCCAAAGAAGUGAAAAAAUGAAUGAUGUGAUGAAAAUGUAUUUGGAUCAUGGCAUGAAAUUGUUCGAGUUUGUGAAUGGACACGAAAUGGGAAUUGCAUGGCUGAGGCAUCAAGAGUGCAAAGAACACAGUGACACCGAAAAUAGUACCAUUGUAAUGACCACUACCUUUCCGAAUUUGGAAAAACACGCAAUGGAGUUCUACACCCGUACUAUGCUUUUCAAAGUUCGUGAUGAAAUGAUCAAAUGCAGCAUGUAUAAUCCUGAGAGGGCUGGUUCAUUUGGCAACCACACAGUUUACCUCUUGAAUAAAUAUGGAUCACCAGUUCUACUUGGCGAGUGGAGUUGAAUAGAGAGACACUAGAAAUGAAGUGCUCAUGUAUGUCAUUUGAUGAUAUUGGCAUCCAAUGUGCUCACAUGUUUCGAAUCAUGGUCUAUGAUCACAUGAGCCGAAUACCGGAUUGCCACUUGUUGAAAAGAUGGGGUAGACGAUCUAAUGCAGAAUUUGAAAAAGAAAGUUUAGGGGAAACUAUCAUAGAUAGUGUUACUCAAAUGGCAACAUAUGGGAAUCUAGCUUCCGAGUGCAAUGUGAUGUGUUACUAUGCAUCACAAGUGGAUGACGGAUCGGUCGCCCGGAUUAGAGAAUUUGUUCAUAGAGAGACAAACCAUCUAAAAGAAUUGGUGUUGUCCAGGGACCGCAAUAUUAGUGAUGCAACUAGUGUACAAGUAGAUGGGCAGCAAGGCUACUUGGGAUCAAAGAUCCGCUGGUUGGGCCAAGGGUGAUCAUAUUAGCAAAGGAAAAAAUGCACAAAUUCACAAUAAGUGCGGCAAUUGCGGGUAUGUCCAUCUAAAUAGCAUAGUGAGGAAUUUUUCGAAACUAGUUUUCUUUGACUUAUAAUACAUAUGUUGACUAAUCCCAUGUAUGUAUUAUAGAUCGAGGGACGGGCAUAAUUCAAGAACAUGCACGAAAAAAUGGAUGCGGAUGGAUGAGCCACCACCAAAUUAUGCAAUUAGAACUGGCGGCAUAAAUAACUCAAGUCAACAGUUCUAUGGUUUCGAUUUCGACCGUCAAGAUCAGCAAGCAGAAGUAAGCAAGGGAAUGGAUGAUUGGAUAAAUCUAAGCUUACAGGUAAUAUUGGAACAGGAUUAAAUUAAUAACUUACCAAAUUGUGUGAUGGUUUUUUAGCAUAUCAAGUUAAGAAUACACAUGUUAGGAGCCUAAUUAUCGUAAAUGAACAUGCAUUGAGCUUUUACAUUAAUGAUUUCCAUUGUGAUAAGAUGCACUGUUAUAUUGAUAUCUUUUGCAGAAUGAAUAUAGAAAUGGGAACUCUAGUGUAAUGGGUGACACGCCUAAUAGCAUUUUUAUGGAGCAUUCUCGUGCAUCAGAAAUAGAGGUUAGUUGACUGUAAUGGCAUGCUUUUAAAACAUCAGUCCAAGCAAAAUGAAUUUUUAUAGUGUUUGUUACUUGUUUAAUUUUGUCUAAUAUCAUAGACUUUGAGUAUAGGGAUGGUGGAAUCAGCAUUGAAAACGGAGGCCGCAUCAAGCACAAGCCUAUAGGAGAUUUGCUACUGUCCCUCAAAUUCACGGUUCCCACCACACAUCAGCAUGCUGGGGGGAAGUGAAAUUCAUAGCAAUUGUGAAAACUUUCCUUGUUUGAAAUAGAAUUCCAUCUCGUGCAUUUGCGCCAAUUUUUUCCGCUAAUGAAUUGUACACGUUUGGAUUCCAUCCAUUUCAUCAAUUUGUGCCGUCUUAUAUUACUUUAAUUACAAUCUACAAACAUUAGGACAAUAUCGUAUAAUUAAUAUGUAGUUGACAUAGUUUAUGUCAACUACAUAUUAAUAAAAUUGCAACAUUUUGGCUUUAUUUAUGAUAGCUAAUAAAAAAUUAAUUUGACGAAAUAAUUUGUCUAAAUUAAUCAUACAAUUAGCAAACCCACCCCAACUUGUACAAAAUUUAUGUAUUGGAGUAAUUUGGAAAAUUAAUUUUUUGGACUAAUUUACUCCUACUUUUUUGGACUAAUUUAUUCCUAGUUAUAAAUGACUAUUCAUUUAUAACAUAAAUGAAUAGUCACCCAUAUUAAAAUAAUAGAAGUAAAUAACAGUUUUUUUUUAAAACAAAUAGCUAUUUGAUCACUUGCUAUUAUUUUUCUCGAGCUCAACUAGGCUCAAACUCGAGAUUAAUGUUGAAUUCGAGUUUUAACAUGAAAGCUGAUAGAGCUCAAGAUCGUUGUCAAGAUUUGCAUUGUACCAAAAAGAAAUUUUGCACUCCAUCUCAUGCUAUAUUAUUGAUAGAAUAAAUAUUGAUCGUAUGAUAAUUUGAAGUUAUUUACUUCUAUUGCUUGUUGUAAAUGACUACUCAUUUAUGUUAUAAAUGUCCUUUUUUACACAAAUAAUAUAAUGAUCACUAGUUAUUACUUUUCUUAAGCUCAAGCUCGAGAUUAAUGUUGAACUCGAGCUUUAGAAUGAAAGCUGAUGGAGCUCAAGAUUCAACAAUAAUUUAAAAAUGAAUAAAAAAUUAAUACAUUAAUCAAAAAAUUCAACAUUAAUACAUCUCAUGCUAUUUUUUGUAAAUUCAACAUUAACACAUUAAUAAAAAAUGAAUAAAAAAUUAGAGUCUUGUAAUCCGAUAUGAUUCGAUAACCCGUUUACGAAUUAAUAAUAAUUUAAUAAAUAUAAAAAUUAUUUUAUCUAACUAAACUAAGUUAUAUUUUUUUCCAAAGGCAUUAAUCACUUAAUUCUAAAUGAAUUUAUUUAACUUGUGUGAAGUUAAAGUUAUUAUAUUUGGACAAAUAAUGUAUUAUAUUAUUUUUAACUUUUAUACUGUUUUAAUUUAUUUUAUAUUUCGUUUGGGAUAAAAUACCUUUACGGUGUUUGAUUUAUUUUAGAUUUGGCUUGGGAUAUCUAUUUAAAUUUUUAUUACUUGAUUGUGUAAUUAGUUUUGUGCGAAAUUGGCUUUAUUGGAAAUUACAAUGAGAAAUUAAUAAAAUUAAGUUUCGGGCCAUUUCGGAUCGCCUCGCCAACCAGAAAUUUUCGAGUGUGUGUCAAGUAUCUUGACCUGUUUCGAUUUGGUGGGUCAAGAUCAGGUCAGUGGAUUUUUUUGUUACACUCAGGUCUCAACCCGACCCGUCACCCCGAUUUGGACCUGAUUGCCACCCUUAAUCAUACUGGAAGUCGAGAAAAUUGAGUUGAUUCAGCUCAUUUUGUGGCAAUUUUUUUGUUAACGUAAUAUUAAUAUAGGUAAUCAAAAAAUGAACAAAAAAGAAUCUGGCAAAAAUAUAAUAUAUUACGGCUACUUUGUAUUUGCUGCUUUAAUUUGAAGUAUCAUAGUUAACAGAACAAAGUAAAGUAUAGUGAAUUUUUUUUGCAAAAAAUAUAAAAAAUCUAAUCAUUAUAAAGAUUUCUAUUGUAUCAAAAAAUUCACUCGGAAGUGCAGUAUAUAAAGACCUCAAGUGCACAUAGUGGUUGCCACUAAGUAGUAACCGCAUAAAAUCCACCUUAAGAGACUUAUAUCUUCAGCACAAUUCAAGGUCUACCCAAAUGGUUGGCGAUUCAAAUGGCAGGCCAAAAAGGGUCCCCUUCAUGGAAACUCUCCCUGAUAACUUUCCUGCUUGGAGUGUGGCAUGUGUUCAAGAAGAUGGUGUAAUGAGGCAGGAGACUAUUCACAAUAUCACCGAAAAUGUUCUUGGUCUGCCCGUCCAUAUUGGCCACAAAGGAAAGGUCUGAGGUUCUAAUGCUGUCUUGAUAAAGUGGUUUUCAUAUUGAUUAGGAUAAAAAAGAUAUUAGUUUCUCAAAUCUGUUAUUGUUAACAUUCUUGCAGGUCCCAGUAGAGUGGUGUGAGACUUUGUUAAGGCAAAACAUGGGUCUUCGGCAUAAGGUUGUGGAGAAAGGUACAGAGAUUUACAAGUUAUAUAGUAAUAUCCAUUCCUUCGGGCCUUGCCACUCUUCGCAUACUGUGGGUGAUCCGGGUAGAAGCAGCGGCCAUGGUGCAGAAUCAGAUUGUUCUGCUUCAUUGGAAGGAAAUGCAAGGACACCAUCCUCCAACGAAGUUGGCUUUAACAAAUUAUUGUUUAAAAUUAGUCCCUCAAAUACAAGCCAUUCUGUCAUCAAAAACGGUGUGAAGAGGCAGAAGACUUCAACUGGGACAAAGAAGGCAUGACCAUACACGGUGGAUAGCUAUGCAUGCAAUUAGAAAUGGACACAGGAAUAAGAAACUGAUGCAAAUAUUCUAAUUGCUGGUUCCUUUUGUUUGGGGUGAUGAUGGGUGGUAGUUUAUUCUAAAAUAUUGGGCUUCACUAGUUUGUUUUGUUAACCACUCACUUGGAAUGGGCUAUGUAUAAGGUGCAUGCUUGAAGUAGUAAUACGUGUUAAUUGUUUUUGAAGUACAGGUUCCAUUAUGAUAAGAAUUUGUACUUUUGAACACUUAAUGGAAUGGUUAUUACGUAACUGAAAUUUAAUCCCGACAUUAAAAACAUGUGUCAAUCUCAUACAAUUAUCCUUUAAUAUUGUGCUGAAGUUUGAGAUCAUUAAAGAUUAGUAAAUAUAAAUUUUUUAUCCAUCAUAUAAGGUAGUAGGAUUCCAAACAACCGUCUUUUUAUUUAUUUUGGACAAUCCUGAUCCAAACAAAAUAAACUGUUAAAGUCCUAAUAUAAAGUAAAUUCUAGUAGUGACAAUGAUUAAGAAAGGAGUUCAAUUCCAAAGCUUAGCGAUUGUAAAGAAACAAUAGAACACCCUAUUCAAUGAAACUCUAAUGGAUCUAGUUGUUUAUGACGAGGAUAUUUUGUGCCUCAACUAACCAAACAAGAAACUAAAUCUUGUUAGUCACUACAUUUCACAAAUGGAGCAUAACACGAGGAGUCUUGGAGGAGUAGUCUAAUUUGUGAAAGGAAUCAAGCAAUGUCCAUCGGUUAUCCAAGUAGAUUGUCUUUGUUGGCUAUUUGUUGUGUCCAAGGUAUAAGGGAAGACAUCAUAUGAUCUAUCCAUCAUCUCAGGUAUCAAGCAAUGUCCAUCGGUUAUCCAAGCAGAUUGUCUUUGCUGGCUAUUUGUUGUGUCCAAGGUAUAAGGGAAGACAUCAUAUGAUAUGUCCAUCAUCUCAGGUAUCAAGCAAUGUCUAUCAGUUAUCCAAGCCAGAUUGGAUUUGCUAGCUAUUUGGUGUGUCCAAGGUGUAAGGGAAAAUAUCGAGAUCUGUUGGAAACGCAUGUUGGCAAAGAAAAGACAGAAAGUUUUCAUUGGCCAAGAAAUUUAAAGACCUAGCAAUUCCUCGUACAUGCAAAGACCACGAAUAAAUUGUCACAAUCAUAAACUACUGUGCUUGUCAUAGUCUGCUUUGCAAACGCUGGACUGCAGGAGUUCACAUGACCAUGUGCAUUCAAUACAGAUAUUUUGAAUCUUGGGUUGUUGGUAAUGAAGUCCAUGUAAACGUUAAACAGUGACAUUAUCUUGAUUAGCAAUUGGAUUAAGAAUAUGUCGUGUGCAAACUGGUAUCCUCAAGCCUGGUAUGGUGGUUACUUUUGGUCCAAUAGGAUUGCCAACUGAAGUUAAGUCUCCUGAGAUGUAACAUGAAGCCUUUCAGGAGGCUCUUCCUGGUGGCAAUGUUGGGUUCAACGUUGAGAAUGUUGCUGUCAAGGAUCUUAAGCCUGGCUAUGUUGCCUUCAACCCUAAGGAUGACUCUGCCAAGGAAACUUUCAGCUUUACCUCUCAGGUUAUCGUCAUAAACCAUCUUGGCCAGAUAGGAAAUGGACACUCCCCACCAAGCAUAUGGAUAGGAAAUGCAUAAGAAUGGUGAUGCUGGUAUGGUUAAGAUGAUUCCUACCAAGCCCACGGUUGUGGAGACUUUCUCUGAGUACCCACCUCUUGGACGUUUUGCUGUGAGGGACAUGCGUCAAACUAUUGCUAUUGUUGUGGUCAAGAAUGUUGACAAGAAGGAUCCAACUGGUUCCAAGGUCACCAACGCUGUAGCCAAGAACGGAGCCAAAUGAAAUGUGUUUAUGAGAUUACGCUUUGAUGAACUAGUUGCUGUUAUUUGCUUUAGUUUUUUUUUAUUUUGUUUUGGACAUCCUAGCAGUUCUCUAGCCUUAUUUGUGAGGAUAGUGGAGAUAUCAAGCAAUCUGGGUUUGAAUCUGGUUUGCUUGAUGACAGUGGUGGAGUCCAUUUCGAAGCUGUCUAUUCUUUUGAUUUCUAUAGGUUUAAACAUAUGAUGAGUUUUUACUCUUUAGUCAGUAAACAAAUUAAAUUUCAAUGUUUUGUCAUUCUUGUGCCUUGAGCUGUGACUUUCAGGUAUCGUUUACUAAUUGGUGGUUGUUCCUCGAAAAAAAAAAGGUUAAGAAUACGUCAUAGCAGGUGUUAAUAUGCUGAAGAUAAACCGCGGUUAUGCAACGAAAAUUUAAUUAUCAUAAAAAAUAACACCUCACAAAAUAUUUAUUUAUUUUAAUCCAAACCGGUGGUUAGCUUAAUAUCUCAUCAUAACUUAAUUAACCCACAUCGAAUAAAUAAAGAUCCCCAUACAACAAAUGAUACACUUAAGGAUCCAAAUUUGUUUCUUCAUUGCAGCCAUAUCUUUCCGGACACCGUCAACAACCUCCAUACACUCAAGUGUGUUGAUAAAGGGCUGCUCCGACAUAACUAUGCUAUCUUCAGGCACCACCAUUCCACCUUCAGCAACCAUUUUCAGAGCAUUUGCAUACUCAUCACACCAACCGAUGAAUGGAGAGCAUUUUCUCUGCAUUGUUAUCAGCAUAAGCAAGCUAAACUCACUUCACAAUACCAGAAAAAACUUCUAACAACUCUGUACCUGUGCGUUGGGGCAAUCGUAGUAAUGUCUGCCGCGAUUCGCUGGAUUGGUUCUAGCUAUUUUUCUCUUACACAAUCCCAUUCCGCAAUUGCAUCUUCGGCUUGGCCAGUUCACAAAAGUUACUGAUGCUUCAGAGCUUGUGGAGGUCAUAGCAAGAAGUGUGGAGGUAGACUUUGGAACCAAGACUAUGGAGUUGGGUUUAAUAAGAAGCAGGAAAUACUUCGCUUGUUUUAUAUGAAUUCCUAUGAGGUAGCCCACAUAUGUCCUAAUGUAUCUGGUUGCAGUGUCUACAUGUGAUAUGGCCCCAUUAUCCGAGUCGUUGCCCAUUCUUUCUUAGCAUCUCAGAUUUGAUGGGCCAGCUUUGAUUAUAAUAAUACUAAUCUUAUGUAUACAAAUACCAUAUUUACAAAUUAAUGAAUCAUUUAUGAUUAUGAUAAUGUUAAUCUCAAUGUAGACAAAUAUCAUUUUUAACACAAGUAAAGGAUCAUCUUUUAUUAUGAUAGUGUUAAACAAAAUUUCAUGAAAUCAUAAUAAAUAGACCUCUUUGAGUGUCGGUAAGAUUAAGUAAAUAUUAUCAAUAUUCAAACAUCUCGUUUUUCGCUAACUAAAUACAUUAAUAUUAAUUUACACACAAACGUAAGACUUAGGAACAUUUGACCCAUUUAUUUGAGUAGAGAAAAUAAAUACGUUACUCUUUAUUUUAUAUUAGUUAUAGUUAAUCGUCUUGAUCAAUACAAAAUCACCUCCAUCUUUCGCUUUUUCCAUUUAAGACAAAACAAGAAUCAAUCCAAUAAAAACACAACAACAGAAUUUUCUUGGUAAGGCUCUCAGUGAACAAAACAUUCCGAUCAAUACAGACCAUUGCCCUCAAAAUAAAAAUAAAAUUUCAUGCCAAUUACAUUAAAACUUAUCCAAAAAAAAAUCCAAUCAUUUUCCGUCAAGUAUGUAGACUACUUCAUGCAUGGUAGAAUGCCAAGGUUAUCUUCACGGACUAACAUUCCGAUCAAUACAGGCCAUUGCCCUCAAAAUAAAAAUAAAAUUCCAUGCCAAUUACAUUAAAACUUAUCCAAAAAAAACCAAUCAUUUUCCGUCAAGUAUGUAGAUUACUUCAUGCAUGGUAGAACGCCAAGGUUAUCUUCACGGACUAAAUUAGAAGGAUGGACAAACAAUUCCAAAGCCAAUGAACAUCGUUCUUUAUCCGACACAAAACUGACAACCAUUUCGGCUUCCAUUUCCGAGACAUGUUUCAUGAAAUACAUAACAUAUAUGCCACAAUCAUUUCUGCAAAAUUGAAGAAAAUUAAUACCUACAAAAAUGACAAAUAAAACUAUAGGAGACCAAUGCAAAUCUUAUAGGAUACUAAAUAGGUUUAUACCCAUCUGGCUGUCGUGGACACCACUGAGGCCUAAUGCACGGAAAUUUGGAUAUGUCUUUUUGAUAAGCUUUCCCAAGACCAUAAGCCAAUGCCUCAUGGAGCAUGUUUCUCUGUACAUACACUAACAUUAACAGUAAAACAAGCAUUUGCAUACCCAACUUCUAAAACAAUUAGGAAAGUUAAUAGUUCUCACCACAUGCAUCACUGGAUAUAGUCUAUUGAAAUUGAACUCCUUAACUGGUAAGCUAUCAUAUAUGUGGAUUGUUUCAUUUUUCAUAUCAAUCACAAAUAGAUACCAGUGCAUGUUCUUCCAAUUCAUAUGAAUGCAUAUCUACACAAGACCAGUUAUGGUUAAACAAACGUCUCCCUCCAUAAACAAAAAUCAAGAAGAUGAAGUAAAAUCUUUUAAACCUUUGCAACUGCAUCUAUGUAACCACCAAAGUUCUCCUUUCUUAAGUACCUAUUGUACAAUACUUCCAGUCGUGGUGGAGAUGAUUCACUAUAUUGCUGGGAUAUACAUUUAAUUUUUGUAUUAGUAAGCAGAUUUAGGUAUGGGAUUAUUAGUAUAGUAGGUUCUAACAAAAUCCCUCACCUGAAACCGUGUUGGCAUGUACCAUAUCUGACUGUGUUCAGUUGGAUUAUUCUUUCUUGUGUUUAUAGUCAAUAAAGCAGCAUAACAAUUGAGUACCUUGUAUACCAGCAGCACAGGGGACUCUUUUCUCACCAACAAAAAAAAUGUAUAAAAUUAUAUGAAAAUGAGAAGAUAAUUACCUCACAUUGAAGCCAUUCACAAGGGGCUAGAGACCUAAACUCUUUCCUAUUAGCAUCUUGUCCUAGAGUCGAUAUUAGCAAAGUACUAUAGAUAUUACUCAACAGCCCAAAAAGUGUUAGUUGUAUUCUAUUAUCAACCGUUACCAUCAAUAGUUGAAGUUCAAAACAAGUAUGACAUUAUACCUUGAAGGUAGUUUAGCAUCUAGCAGAUAAUCAAGAAGCAAGUUCUUCGACCGAAAUGGGAGGCUACACGGAUCAAUUUCUUUCUUAUCCUGCUCACACAAAUUACAGCCAAUCAUGUGUUAUUCAUAAAUAACCAAAUAAUAACUGACAAUUACAUAGCUAUCAAACCUUGCCAUAUAGUAUCUCCAAAUCAAUGUUUUGGUUGUCGCCCUUGGUUGUUGGUUUGGAUAUGGUAUUCAACUGUGACCCUAAUAUCUUAAGAUUACUACUGCUGCUAGUUAUUUGAACAGGUAUCAGGUUCGAGCAGACCUCAUCCUCCGCAUUCACCAAGCCCAAACACGUCCUGGUUUUGCAUUGCCGCUGUGAAUCUUGCCUUUUUUAUAUCCUCUUUGGUGUCUUCUUUUCCACAGCAAUGGCACAAUUUUUCAUUAGAUGAAGAGCAUACCCAUUCCCCUAUUUUUGUGAUGCACGAGCUUUACAUAUCUUUUUCAAUUUUCGGACCUCUGCUUCCUUUAUUCGCAGAGGUGGUGUUUAAGGAGAGCUUACCUUCUUCCUAGUUAUACCCCCACUACGAAUGAUGUUAGCCCAUUUGUACUUGUGGCUAGCUUCUCCGAUAGGCACAUCAGCCAUAGGACUCUUACAGUUAUUAUCCAUCCGAUUAAUUUGUUCCUCUAUAGAGUCUAGUCACUCUAUAAUUCUAUCCAAAACCAAAGAAUCUAGUGAGCAACAUUCAUAUCGGCUGGUAUGUUUUUUUAGGAUAACCUCAACUUGCUCGGCAUCCUCCUGCGAUUUACAUCCACCAACAUGGUCUUCACUUUCUUCAUCGACCAAUCUUCCAAUAGCUGGUGUGCAUUUUUGUUUGUUUGAGCUCUGCCAGCCGCAGCAUGCCAUCACUUGCUUCUGCUUCAUUUUUUUAUCAUUUGCAAAUGACUUGUAUGAGAUGCAAGAUAAUAUUAGACACCGAAAACCUUUCUUCAACAAUCACUGAGAAAGCAGAAUCUUUACUAUCAGUAAGAAAGCAAGAUUGUUUACUAACAUUCUUGUACCCUCCAUGUUUAAUACUCCUCAAGAUCGAGGCUCUUCUUCAAUUGUCGCCUAAACUGUGAUGUGUUUUGUUUUGUUAAUUCUUGAUAAUGCCCACACGGAGUGUUGUUGAUAUAUUUCCUCUGCUGAAGUCUCUGGAGUUUGUCAAAAAGAACCGCUCAAUUAAAGCUAAAGUGCUCUUGAUAUCCCCGAGGUACACUUUAUUUUAUUGAACAGUGAGUACUCUUCUUUUACCUUUUAACCUGGUGGCCUAUUGCUCAAUUUUUGGUUGUAUUAGUUGAUAAGUUUUACUCCUCUAUAUUUUAUUAAUUCCCACACCACUGGUACACUUUUGAUACUAGACUGUAGAGGCGUCCUAGAAUUUUAGAAAAAAGAAAUAUUAUCAAGAAAAUUUUCAUUUUUCUCUUUUAAACUCAUUUUCACUUACAAUUUGUAAAGAUUUUGUGAAGACUAUCAUUUUUUUCCAGCAUCAUUUUUUUUUUCAGCAUCAAAAAAGGUAAGUAUCAUUUUUUUUCCAGCAGCAAAGAAGGCAAGUGUUAUUUUUCAAACGUCAGGGGAGGUGGCCUGCAAUUGUAGAAACCUCAGUCAAAGAAAAGAAACGGUUUGAGCGCAGACGGCUACAGAGGCCCAGAACAGAAGGGAAGGGGCCUCGCAAUUUGCAACACUUAUCCAUUUCCAACCAGUUCGAGCCUUCGAGGCCAUACAGAAUUGAGUAGGAUUCUUUCUUGGCAAAUGGCUCGGUCUGCCGAACUUAUUGCCUUCAUUCUUUUUCUCUCUUUCUGGAUUGUAUGCCUAUCCUGAGAGGAUCAAGUUGAGAGGGAGAUGGGGCCUCUGCAAGUCCUUUCCUUUCCAACCUUCCUUUUGCUUUGAUCCAAACGGUACCUUAAGAUUUUAGCUCUGUGAAGAAUGAGGCUAUCAGAGAGACUGGGGAUUUCUUCAAGGGUGGUUGCCCCUCUCUGAUUUUUAGCCUAUGAUUUCAUUUUUUCAUCAUCGACCAUCUGAAACCAACAGCCCUUCAGAUGCAAUUUUCUACUUAUGAUUAAUCACAAAAACCCCCCUUAAAGUUUUGAUACCCAGACCUUUCAUGAAUAGCAGCAUUACUACUACUAGUAUUGAUUCUGCUCAUCUUCUCGAGAAGCCUGCUUGUCUGAAGGCUGUGAUGAUUCUUUAACUUUCAAAGCAAAUGGGUCAGUGGCUUGAGGCAAAUCCGACCCGUAUCUUGGCUGGGCGACCCGGAUGGCAUAUAUGAUAUGGAGGAGGAGAACAUGAUCUAUCACAUUGCAACCGGUGUUGCAGCCAUGGCGCUGUCACUUUCUCUUUGCCUGACCUCAUUAGAUACAUCUGAGCCUGAACCUUGAUCAUUUUUCCCCCUUGAUGGCGUCAUUUUUUUCUGAAAACAAAAGCAAGUGUUUUUGUUACUUUCAAGAAAUUGGGCUCUUUUUUUUUUGGGUUGGGUACACUGAGGAAUGAAGUUAAAUUAAUGCAAAAUUGCAGUUUACUCUGCAUGAAUUCGUUAGUUCUGGUUAGGUAAUUCUAAAAGUAAGAUGGUUUACGCUUUAGCAUUCGGUACCAUUGAAGUUACUAUUUAUCCCUUUUUUUCCUGUUUUUUAGCAUCAUUAUUGUCAUGCAGCUGCACACGCAUAUUUGAACAAGGAAGAUUUAUUACCAAAUGCUUGUACUCGUUAAUGUCGAUGUUGCUUCUGUCUCCGGAUUUGGCUUUGAAUGAUAUAUCAGGUCAAAGUGGAUUCUUGUCUUUUUUUUUUUUCUUUUUUUUGUCGACACAGAGUGUUCGGAACCAUUGGGCCCGACUAAUCCCCUGCGGCUGUGAGAGCCCCGUCCCAAUGUUCACAGCCCGUUAGCUCUCCCGGGGUCGAUCCAGUGACCUGCCCCUAAAGAGGGGAUUACGGAAAGUCGGAAACCAGUCAAUCUGCCUGGGGGCAAAGUGGAUUCUUGUCAAGCAGUAAUAUUUUGGCUCCACUUUAUUAAGCUGUUUGAAAAUAUGGUAUAACCUCAACCAUUUUAACCCAUGCUCAGUUCUGGGAAAUAUAUAGAAUUAUAUAAAGUGUUGCUGGACUGUGAAAGGAGACAUAGGAGGAGGGUAAAAAUGAAAAAUAAGUUCACAAGAAAAUGUGUCGUUUCCCUGGGAAUCAGUUGAAUUAAUUAAUAUUACAUCCAAACUCACAGCUUUGGCUUAUGCUGCACUAUCAUUAAGAAUCAAAAAGAACAUAAUAAAUCUGCAUGAAAUUUGUUCACUAUUCAAAUACUUGUACAUUUUGCUUGCUAGCGUAACUCUGUGCUAGGUUGCUAAUUGUCUUCUUACUAGUGUGAUUGAACUUUCAGACUGGAUAAUUACACAACAAACUGGGUCGGGCUUCUUGGAAGCUCAUUUGCCCUCGUGGUUAACCGCACCCCAAGUUCCAAGACCGCCUAAGAAACAAAAAAAAAAACACGUCUCAAACCCAAUUCAUAGGGUUGAUGCCUGGGCCACAGAGUGCAGGACAGCAAUGGCAUGGGGCCUCGCAAUUUCUGGCACUUUCCAUUUCAGACCAGUUCACAGCUGAACCGAAGCACUUUCCAAUCUUUCCCAACUUUUUGUUUAGUUGACUUCUGUAAGUUCUUUUAAGUCCUUUCCUUCCCUCGCUGUUGUCUUCAAUCCAAACGGUGCCUUAAGAUCUGAGCUCUGUGAAGAAUGAGGCUAUCAGAGAGGUUGGGAUUUCUUCAAGGGUGGUUGCCCCUCUCUGUUUCUUCUUAGCCUAUGAUUUCUGUUUUGCCAUCAGUAAACUAAAAUCCAACAGCCCUUCAUCUUUCAGCAACAACAUUCAGUUCUGGUUAUUGAACCCGGGUUCGAUACCUCUCAUUUAGACAGAAGAAAAAAAAAGGGGUACAUUGAACGGUUGAAUCCGGAUUGUUCACAAAUCCUUGAAAGCCCAAAUCAUGCAAUGUAAGGCACGCAGUCCUUGAAGCUUCAUCUUACUCACUCAAAAUUCGCUCAUAAGCUGAAAAAAUUAGUGCAAUAAAAUACCCAACUCUGUCUAAUAAGCUUCGCACCAUGGCUCCAAGCCUUUGACAGGUAAAGCAUCUCAAAUUUCCCUGAGCUUCUGCUCUCAGAAAAAUCGGAUCGGCAAAACGGCCUAGCACUACUGCUACUACUAUUAUUGAGUUUGCUCACUUUCUCGAUAAGCCCGCUUAUCUGAAGGCUGUGAUGAUGAUUUUAACAUUUUGAGGGGAUCCAUCCAUCUUUCUGGGGUUGGGUCUCUCUCUGUUUUCUAUGUCAAUGUUUUCCUCACGUCACAUUGCAACCGGUUUUGCAGCCAUGACGGUGUCAUUUUCUCUUUCUGAUGCCUUUAAUUGUUGCCGUGAAUUGGUCUGAAAUGGAACUUGUGAGGCCCCGUUUCCCUUUCUGUCACCAUUGUUCUGUAUUCUCUUGGAUGCAAUGAUGAUUUUUCUUAGUUGUGAUUUGAGCAUGGAGGAAAUCGUGGACCCGUAUCUUGGUGGUGCAGCCCUGAUGGCAUGUGAGAUGAGAAGAAUUUAAAGAUGGGUUCUUUCUUCUCUUUCAUGCAACUGGGCUUGUGCGCUACGGCGGCGUCUUUCCUUUCAUUUUUCCCUGAUCAAAAUUAAACAUCUGAGCCUUCUAAGGUUUAUGCUCUGCCAGUGUUUGUGAGCAUUCAAAAACCUUGAAAUUUUAGCUCUCUGAAGAAUGAGGCACCAGAAAGAUGGGAUUUUUUAAAGGGUGGUUGUCCUCUCUGUUUAGCCUGUGAUUUGUUUCGUAUGAAAACCAACAGCCCUUUUACAGCCUCGUUUGGUUGGGACUGUGGAAUGGGAACUGGAAAGGGAAUGCAUUUAUAUAGGGAAAGUGUCUCUAUCACAACUUCCCAUGCGUUCUUUUUUUGUUUCAUAUGUUAUGACAAUUGACAAUGAUGAUGAUGAUGCAUUGAAGGUAGUGUUUAUUUAAAGAAAAUGAAAGGCUGUGAUGAUAUUUCUUGUGAGAGCAAGUGAUAUAGGCAUUGACGGUGGAAUCUGACCCGUAUCUUGGCUGGGCAACCUAGAUGGCAUUUUGGGCGAAAACUCCCUUUCUAACAUGCAACUGGUGAUUUGCAGCCAUGGCGGUGUCAUGGCACCAAUGCCAGGUUAAGUAUGGAUCUGAGCCUUGUUUGUGAUGUCUACCUGUUUAAGCCAUAUUUACUGCUAUACAUCUUUUGGCUUUUCUCGUUUUACUGCUAGCUGUAGUUGGAUAGUUAUUCCAGGACGUCUGAAGUUUGAUUCACAAGUCUGAUGAUUGAUGACUCUGAUUGUCAAAAAAUACUUCACUAUUUCAGCACCGUAACUUGUAAUUAUCUUCCAAUAUUCAAUGGACAAACAUGAUAACUUUUUGAAAGCACGCUUGUUUUGUAUGUGGAGUGCGUUUAGUUAAUUAAUUACAUCUCAUGUAAUAACAUUCAAUUUUUUGAAGUAAUCUUACGUGAAGGAGUUUGCAUUCCUAUGGUUGAUUGUAGCUGCUGCUGUGAUGUUACGCGAUUAGCUUUUACUUGGUUGCUACAUACAUACGAAGUAAGAAUUUUGACCCAAACUUGAUUUGAACCUCUCCAAUGUUGCCUUGAUGUCAAAGUAAAGAUCUGAGCCAUUUGCUUCAAUGUUUUUUUUAUUUAGGACGAAAAUGUUAAUCACAUAUAAGAUUUUCUUAGAUGUGGUGAUAGCUAUUGCUUCUAGAGCUGUUGCUUGUUCUAACCUGCUUAUUUGCUGCGAAGUCUGAAAGUAUCAGCCUUCUUCUCAAAUUUUCUGCUCAAAAAAUGAAUGAGGCAACAGAGAGAGAUUGGGAUUUUUGUAAGGGUGGUUGCCCACUCUCUAUUUUAGCCAAUGAUUUCCUCACCCAAAUAAACCAACAGCCCUUGUUGUAGCAGGAUCAUGCUAAUCCUUUCUCUGUAUCAUUUCAAUUUCUUACAGUAUCCUUCCACUUCAAAAUAAGCUGUGGUGAAAUGUUUCCAAAGCCAGUAUGGUCAGGCAUUGAGGUGCUGACCAGUGACCCCUAUAUAUUUUUGGCAACCUGGAUGGCAGAAUUGGGGUGGGGGGAUGAGGUUCAUUCUCUUCCCUCUCUCAAAUGCAACCGUUAUUGUAGGAUUAUGCAUUUACUCAUUGUUGAAGCAAGAAAAACUUGCCCCAAUUCUCCCUGUACUCCUUAUUUUUCUCCACUCCUAAACAACACCAAACUAGGCCUUUCUUAAUAUAUGCCAGCAAUAAAAACAUGCCUCAAGAUGGAUAUCAAUGGUCUUCAGGAUAAAGAAGAAUGAGGCAGCAGAGGAUGGGAAUUUGUUAAGGAGGUGGCCCAUCUGGAUGCCAACAAUUUCAUUAUUCACCAUCAGUUAAAGAUGGACGGAACUAACAGCCCUGGUAGAAAAUAAGGGGAUGCCUUAUAAAGCAACAGUGUGUCUUCUCCUGUUCAAAUAAUUGGCUAUGAUGAUGAUGUUUUCUUUAUCUGUGACAUCAAGGUAAAGCUGACCCAUGUCUUGGCAGGGCAACCUGAAUCAUGUGUGAGAUGAGAAGGAUUCGAAAAUGGGUUCUUUCUCACUUGCAUGUAAUUAGGUUUUUGCAGCCAUUGUGGUGUCCUCCUUCCUCUGAUCAAAAGAAUAGAUCUGAGCCAACUUUCUUUACUGUUGCUUAUUUUUGGCUUGCUAGUACUGCCUGCUAUUAUGGAUUCGUUGAAAUUUCAGCUCUAUGAAGAAUGAGGCAUCGAAGAGAUGGGAUUUUUUUGAAGGUUGGUUUUCCCUAUCUGUUUACACCUGUGAUUUCUUUCUUGUCAAAUCCCAUAGGCCUUUAUUUGGUUCCUUAACGAGUAAUGGGAGUUGGAAAGUGUCUGUAUAAGAUCUUUUUUUUUUUUUCUCUAUAUUUGUUGUUUUCUCUGGUGAGGAUAUUAAUAUGUUGAUGAUGAUUUUUGGCAUUUUGUUUUUGAAAAAAUAAAAGGCUGUGAUGAUAUUUUGUGAGAACAAGUAAUUCAGGAUUUAUGGAUGUAUGGAACCCGUUUCUUGGCAGCGCAACCUGGAUGGCAUUUUGGGUCGUGAUGAAUUGCUUUUUAUACGCCCUUUAUGACAUGCAACUGGUGAUUUGCUGCCAUGCUGGUCUCACAGCGUCAAUGCCUGGUCAAAUACGAAUCUGAGCCUCAUUGUCCACACAGUGUCUUGUCUUGAUACGCAUGCGUCUUCUGCUCUACUUGUAUAUUGCAGCGGCUGUGUUUGGAUACUUAAUUUCAUUAGGUUUCGAGUUCAAUUCUCUGGUUUGAUGACUGAUGAGUUUGAUUGGUAAAAAGAGAACAAUUUUUACCAAUGUAAAUUGGAAUCAUCUUUUUAUAUUUACCAGAAAAACAUCUAUAUGGAACAUUAGUGCUGUUUUAUUUUAGUAAAAUCAGUAGCUGUGAAAAACUUGUGGGAGUGAUUUCAAUUAAUGCCAUUGUGUUUGAUCUAACAUGUCAAUACAAAGUUUUUAAGAUUUUCUUCUCUCAAUGAUUUUGCUAGUUCUUGGUUGGCAGUGGGAGCUGCCGUGUUUUGAUACUAUUUUGUAUUAUUUUGGUGGUACGUGAUAAGUUCUCUAUCUACCCCAGACGGUAAUGCCUGAAAUCAGGUUUUAGCCGGGAUCUUUACGUCUUGUUUAAAGCCCAAAAGCUCAGAAAAUGGUGAUGUCUUCUCUGUAUAAGGAUAUAUGCAUGCACAUAUGGUAAUUCUGUAAAAAGAGUAAUUCCUUUUCCAUCUAUAGCAUCAGCAGCUACCACUCAUGUUAAGUUUCAGGUUGCUCUCUCUCGUACCUAUCUAACCCCAAACCCCCUCCCUGGCACUUCUGUAUUAGCUGUUAUGUAAUUUUAUUUGCUAAAGAGGAUAAAGGCUGCCUGUUGGAGGUUCGAAUCUUCUCUUUUUUGCAACUUCCGUGUUUGUACACUGCUCAAGAUUCUCGAACCUAGGAUGACCGUGCACUUCUAUCCUCAUAACUCUGCUCCACUGGGGCUCAAAGAAGUACGUAGGACUUAUGCAGGAAUUGGCUACUGAGCGAGUGGGAAAGAUCAGAUUUUUUUUUUUUUUCCUUAAUUGGUCGUGCACGAGCAUUUUCCAUAAACACGUUGCAAACUUUUCGCUCAAGGUUUAUAACCAUGUUUUGUCUCACCAUGUUUUGUCUUGGUAAUUUUAAUGUGUUUUUCUUCACUUGAUACUAGAAAAAAUAAAGGAGAAGGGGAAGAGCGGGAGAGAGAUGAUUUUGAUAGUUUUCUUUGGGGGCAAAACUCUCUGUUAGUUUGUGGGUCGAGAGAAGGGGACAAGUCAGUGAUCCUAACAAUAUAUAUAUAUAUGAGUUUCCAGUGUUCAGCUGCUACAAAUCCAAUCACUGGUUCUUUUUCUUUAUAUCAAGGAUGGAACUUGGGCGCCCUUUAUCACCACAAUUUCAUAUAUUUUUCAAUAAGAUAUAUAUAAAAAAAAGAGGGAAUUAUCGAGUGGUAUAUGCUGAAAGAAAAUUCCAGCUUUCAUAUUCCUCUUCACUCUAGAAAAACCAUUGCUUCAAAUUUAAACUGUUGUUAACACCUAGAUGAAAACACAAUUCCGUUAAUUUUGCAAGCACUAGAACGUAGUAGCAAAAACUGCACUCGGAGUUCAUCGUGUUAAAAAAAGAAAAAAGAAAAAGAUAGAUAGGAAAAUGAUAGUUUAAGGGGCGCUUUGCAACCUGAAGAAAGUUGAGGGUGUAUCUUACAAUUAAACCUGAAAAAAUAAUUUCUGGGUUAAAGCUCUCAAAUGCUUCUUCAUUAGUGCGUCUUUCUUGAAAAUUAUCGGCUCAAAAGCUGAAAGAAUGAGGCAAACAGGGAGAGAGUGGGAUUUCUGUAAAGGGUGGUUGCCCCCUCUCUGUUUUAAGCCUAUGAUUUCAAACGCAAGCAAACCAACAGCCCUUUGAUUUAGCAGACUGCAGAAAUAAUUCUUGUACUUCCAUUGAGGUUUCUGACAAUUUCACUUUGCACCCCCAACAUGCUGAACGCUUACUACCUCCUCCUGCUGUGGAUCAUGCUAAAUGGCUGUCCUGUAUUUACCAUGAAAAGAGGCUGUGAUGAUUUUAUUUAUUCGCAGAGCCGAGUUGGGUCAGGCAAUUCAGCAAAAUUGACCCGUAUCUUGGCGGGGCAACCCCGGAUGGCAGAAUUGUUGGUACCAACCCUGACAUGCAACCGGUGCUGCAGCCAUGGCGGUGUCAAAGUCUUUUGCCUGACCUUGAUAUUGGUAAUAUCUGAGCCUCCUCUGGAUUUGUUUGCUGCCUUUUAGACCUUGUUAAACGCUUUGAGUUUGGAAAUUGUAUAGGGUUCGUGUCUUUCUUGGAUUCCCUGUUUGUUUAAUUUUUUUAUUUUUUAUUUUUUAAAAAAAAGAGUAUGUAAAUGAGGGUGGUUGCCCCUCUCUGAAUGCCAAUGAUUUUACCCUUCACCACCUGUUAAAGAUGGAAGAAAAAACCACAGCCUUUACGGACUUUGAGGAAUGGAUCCUGUUCCGCGAAGAGAAACCAUUGGGGAUGUGAUGGUACGGGUUCUUUGAUUGUAGAUUCUUAGCUUAGCUGAGUCGCCUCCCCAGUCCAAGUUUAGAAACGCAGGUCUUUGCUGCAAUGGCGGUAAUUAAUGGUUUUGAGCUGUUUUUAUCUAAGUUCUUGAUUAGAUGAGGGUAAAUCUCUCAUCUUUAGCUUUGCCAUCGUUGAAAUUUCAGCUCUCAGAAGAAUGAGCCUGCAGAGAUAUGGAAUUUCUUAAGGGUGCUUGCUCCUCUCUGUUUGGCCUAUGAUUUCGUUGUUCUAGAACAGCCCUUAAACAGCCUUGUUUUGUUCAGACUACAGUUGUUAGAAUCCCAGUCCGGAUCUCAGGAUCCUUUGGAUUGAGAAGAUUUGAAAUAAAAUAAUUUGUUUCACAAAUUCCGAUCACCUUUUUAUCUUCCCAAUCAUCUUUUUAUUUCACAUACAUCACAUCAUAAAAAGUGCUACAGUAAUUAUCUCAAUAAAUCAUCCAAAUAAACUCCUAUCUAAACAAACUCAGUCUACAAGACCUAUCCAGGUUGUAGAUAGGUUCACUGUUCUUUUCUAUAAUAAGCUGUGCACAUGCAUGUCUUGGAUAAAUGCUUUUACAUUUCAUGAUGUAAUCAUGGAUUACCAUCCUAACCAUCAAAGUAGUUGAUCCAUCUUUUUAAUUAGCCAAUGCCAAAAGGUAAACUGAUGCAUUAGCUAGUCGAUAAACUUAUGACAAAGCUACAUUGUGAGUUGAAAAUUAUAAGCUCAGGUCAAAGGACUUUGACCUUUCUGAAUUGAUCAUAUAAUUCUUCAUUAACCAUUAGCCUAAAUUGAAUUAAUAAGUUAAUUACGUUUUCAUAGGAUUGAGAUCCUUAGGUCCAAUUCUAUGAACUCAAGAACGAUUCUUUCUAGAAUCUGAUUUUAAAACCCUUGGACCCUACCGGGCACUUGAAGUUGGAAAGCUUUAAAGCAGGGAGUAUCUCUGUAUGAAAACCUUUCUUCUGUUGUUUUAGUGUCCUUUAUGAUGAUGAUAGUGGUGGUGGUGGUGAUGAUGAUGAUCAGGUUGAUAUCGUUGCAAUUGGUUCAAAGAAAAGGGAAGGCUGUGAUGAUGUUUCUUGAGAGCUAGUGGAUCAGGCAUUGAUGUUUAUAAGCUGUCCCAUAUCUUGGCGAAGCAACUAGAUGGCACAUUUGGGUCGUGAUGAAUGCUUUCACACUCCCUUUUUGGUUGCAACUGGUAAUAUGCAGCCAUGGCAGUGUCACAACACCAAUGCCAGGUCCAUUUAGAUCUGAGCCUUAUUCUCUGGUCAGUUUCAAAAGUUUGCCUUUGAUGGUUCAAUGAUAUAUAUAUAUAUAUAUAUAUGGUGAGGAUGAUGAUUGUGAUUAUGGUGAUUUAAACGCAAACGGUUUGAUAAAAAAUGAAACACUGGUGUGAUAUAUUGUGAGAUGAACUGAAUCGCUUGUGGAUGGGGUACAAUCCAGCUUGGAACUUGGCAGGGCAACCUAGACAGCAAAUUUGGGUUGUUAUGAAAUGCUUUUUAUGUUCCCUUUUUAGUUGCAACUGGAUGUUUUCAGCCAUGGUGAUUUCGCGACCUCGCUACUAUAACCAAUCAGUUGCGUCCCCUCUUCUUCAAUGGUGGAAGAGUUGCAACAACAGGGAAAGAGAUUGCUAUUCCUUGAGGUGUGGUUGAAAGUAGUUUUACGAGGUGGCUGAAUUUCGUUCUGUUGGUUUCCCUAAACUCUUUGGCGGCAACUUCUUUGUGCAAUUAUCCUGCACCAGUGGUAUUCUCACGCUAGGAAGCUUAUAUAUGAGGUGCAACAACACUGAAAGAGAUCACCAUCCAAGUUCCGGUGAGGUAUGAUUUGAAGCAGUUGUACGAGGUGUUCGAGUUUUAUUCUGUUGGUCUUCUGAACUCUUUUGCAACUUCUGUGGGCAAUUACCCUAAACGAGCAGUAUUUUCUCAUCAAGAUUUUUGUCAGUGGAAGGUUCAAGUUGUGCUAUACAAUAAAAUCUUUUGGAAAUCAGCAAAGAGCUUUGUGAAUGCUUUGCUUUGCUUUUGUCAGGCUAGAAGGCAUUAUUAUAAACAGAUAGCUCUUGCAUGUCUUGAGCCACUUCUUUAAGGAUGUUUUUGUCAGGUCGGAGCUUUGUCAGAAUUGUAUACGGAAUGAAAACUUUUAGUGGCCUUUUAUGAUUUUCAUAAAUCUAAGGCAGAUUAGUCUCUUUAUGGAUUUCGGAAGCAAAUCAAAAUAUAUUCUGUAUAUAAUGCCUUUCAAUUUUCUACUGCACUGAAAAAUAUCUAUCCGAACGUUUUGUUUUACGCCAUGUAGCAACACUGCACGUCAAAGAUCGAGGAUGUUUCUAUGUUCAAAGAUCAAUCUAUCCAAUCGUUUUCUACUGCAAUAUGGCUGCACGUCAAACCUUGGAUAGUAAAGGAAAGUAUUGAAACUCGAUUUUGAACAAUUAUAAUUAGCCAGUGUGACUGGUGAGCUGCAAGCCCAAGAUCAUUCUGCUCUGCAAAAUUCGCGAACUUCUGCCCUUUUCUUUUUGGCUGAUCAUGGAGAUGCAACCCGUUAAAAGAGAAGGGUUUUUCGGGGUUAAUUAUUACCUUCCGUCCUGGAAGAAAUGGAGGAUUCUUGUACCCUAUUUGCAAUGCUUAUCGUACUCUCCACACCAUGUGAUUGAAUGAAUAUGAGGAUAAAAGGUCCGAUUGGAAUAAACUAUCAGGUCCAAUUGCGUUGAAUCAACAUCCGCUCAAUUUUGCAUGAUACAAUUACGACAACGAAACCUUUGGCUUCACUCUCACGAGCUAAUCAACAGCUUUUUCAAGAAUGGAAUUAGAACUUUGGCCUUUGCUAACGUUACUGACACUAAAUAAUGUAAAACUGCCAUGUAUAAAUGUACAGAAGAUUUUUUUAUUUUUUAUUUUUUGAAAUGUCACAAGGAGGGUGAAAUGCUAAACUACAGAAAAGGUGUUUUUGGUAAAGAGCCUCCGGACUUGCUUUGAUUUGUGUAUGCUUGUUUUGAUCGAAGCCAAAUCCUCAACCACCCUCAGCCUUAGUGUCCUUAAUCCCCGGAGUUAAAGCAAGUCAUCAUUAUUGUUCUACAGUUAGAUUAAUUAUUGUAGGACUAAAAUGGAAGGAAAGUCACUACUAGUGAACUGAAGCCUCUUAAAAAGACAGAAACAGAAGAUGUGUAGUACCAAGAACAGUCAAACACCUUUUUUAACUUUCACCCGUAUGGCCAAGGUGUAAAAACUGAUCGAAGUGGGGUCAAAAAGUAGAAGGAAAUUGCAUAAAAGGAAGGCUAGAAACACAAGCAGCAGUGGCAAUUAUCUUUUUAGCUCGGAGAAAAGACAAUGAGGCUCUACAGGGAGAUGGGAUUUUCUUAAGGGUGGUUGCCCCUCCCUGCUAAGCCUGUGAUUUUCUUUUCAUCAUCCAAAAAGAUAACCAACAGCCCUUGGAUUUUGCUGGUUUCUGAAGCUUAGCAAAUAUUAUACUACCAUUGUUUCCAUGGAGGAUAAUACUUUUGACUGCUGGCUGUUCUUUCAUCAAAUGAUUAUCUGCUUCAUUCUUGACGUUGUUUCUGUAUGGUUCUUGUUGAUGUCAAUUAUGAUUCCUUGUUUUUUUUUUCCCAACCACAGAAGAAGUAGAAGAAAGAUAUUAGUAACAAAAAAAGGGUUGAAUUAGAGGCUGUGAUGAUGAUUUCUCUGAGCAAAAGAACUUGGGGCGGUGGGACGAAGUGGGCCGUAUCUUGGCUGGGCAACCAGGAUGGCAAAACUGGGAAACUCAGAGAUGGGAUUUCCUUGAUAAUGCAACCGGUUUUGCAGCCAUGGCGGUUCACUCUCUCAUUGCCUAAUUACCACAGAUCUGAGCCUCAUUCCUACAUCUAAUAUAUGUGAAAAUUGUGUGGGUUUGAUUCUUGAAAGGCAAGAGAACCACACCUCUGAUGAAUUAUGAAUAUAUUUUUGGACUGGGAUUUUCUUUCUGUACAUCCCCGACUGAGAUUUUCUGAGGCAUGUAUCUGUCAAUCUGUCAAUUUUCUGAGGCAUGUAUCUUUCCCUUGUAUUCAUAAGAAAAAGAUACCAAAAAAAAAAUUUCUACUUUCUGGUUUUUCACUCUUUUUUUUUUAUUUCCCUGUUUCAUUUGUUGUUUUUCCACCAACCCAGUAGAUUUUAAUCCAUUUUUAGUGCCCCCAGGUUAAUUGAAUUAGUAUUAGAAAGUUAGAACUACAAGACUUUGCAUUUUGCGUAAAAAAGACACUUUCACAUUCUACAAUAAAAAAUAUCUUCCCAAUGACGCAGUCUGAAUCAAGUAGUUCUGGUUUGACUUCAGUUUUUAGGAAAUCGGUUAAAGAAAUUAUUGUGUACUAGUAAUUUCUUUUCUUUUUAUUAUUUCAAUUGUUUUUGCUUUCUUGGGAAACUAAUUAGAAAGGGAAUAUCUACCUAACUGGCUACAGGCAAAAGUUCAUUGGCAGAAAUAAUUUGUCUAUUAAUGUAAAAAAAAAAAAAAGAAUAGAGUAAUUUAAGUGCCGAUGGCAACUGGGAAAAUUCCAAUUACAACAACCAUAGAAAAUAGCAAAGUAACUACUGUUUAUUCCGUGUACUUAGGGGAGGGCACGGGUUAGAUAUCCGUCACAUCUACCAUUUGGCUGAUCUGACUCGUAUCUUGCGAGUCAAUCAUUUUCUGAUCCUUAUGUUCCCUGCAUAUCAGCGAGUACCCUGUUAUAGAGUACUCGCUGAGAUAGGGUCGGGUCAACGGGUACCCGCUUCGCUCUAUUUAUCAUUUAAUUUUUUUAAAAAAUAAUUUAUACUAAUUUAAUUUUAUAUUUUACGCAUUCAUGUAAGAUUUAAUAAAGAUUUUUUCUCAAAAAAAGUCUCCCACCAAAAAACAAGCAUGCGAAGAGAAUAUAAGAUAAAAGAUAAUAAUUAAAAGAAUUCAAAAUCAAUAAAAGUUUGAAAUAAGUAGCACAGUUUUUGAAAUAUAUGUUUCACAUUAAUUAAGCUCUUUUCUAUAAAAAUAUAAGAUUAUGACAUCUACAAAUGAAUCUUAUAAAUAAACUAUAGUCUCUCCUAUUUAUAAUGUAAAUUGUUUAUGAAAUUAUUUAUUAAGCUCUAAAUUAUUAUUUUAUAGCAGAUAUAUAAAAAUAAAAAAAAAAUAUGCGGGGCGGGUCUGGUAUUCGCGGGUUUUUAGUUAUGUGACCCUAAUCCGUCCCGCAUCUUAGCGGGUAUCCGAUUUUUUUUACCCGAUCAAAUAACAUAAAUCGGGUGAUAUAAUUUUCGAAUCGGAUCGAAUCAGAUAUGACGGGUUUCCGGAUUAGCAAAUAAUUUUGCCCACCCCAACUUAUAAUUAGGUGGUGCCAAACCCCAAACAAAAAAAUAAUCAGAAGACCAUAUCGGACUCGGUCUGUCAAAUACUACUGUAAACUAAACAAGAAAGAGAGAGAUAUAUAUCUCGUGGACGUUGCCUUAUGUGACAAUAUAAUUAUGCUAAAGUAAAUUGAUGUAAAUACUCAAUUUAACGUGGCUGUACUAUAUGACGGACCAAACAAUUAAAAAUAAAACUAUUGUUAGGAAAGUCACUACUGUUUAGAAAAACAUUUUUGGAACAUUUCAUAUAAUUUAGCUAACAGGUGCCUAAUAGACACCCAAUAUUCAUUAAGAGAGGAUCAGGUGUUAAUUUUUUUAAAAGGUGUAGUUAAUUCAAAAAUGUACCCCAAUUCAGGGGUGUCAUAAAUAUGAGUGUGCAUAUUUAUAUAAAACUUAGAUGUGAUUUUAGUAUUUUAACAAGCGCCCAUUAUAUAUAUUUGUUAGAAAAAUCCUAUUUCAUAAAACACAUUUUAUUAUUUCUAAAAUCGCAAUCCAGGAAGAGACUUUUAUGUUAUUAUACAUAUAUAACGAGAUGCAACAUGUCUAAUACAUUCUUAUGAUGUGUAUUGUAUACAUAUAAUCUUUGAAAUUAGAAUUUGAUAUAGAGUUUAGCCAAUGGAUAUUCACUCUACAGUCUACACCAAUUAAGAGAGAUCUCACGUGUUAAUUUUUUUUUUAUAAGAAUAAAGUUAAUUCAGAAAAGGAUGGGUAAAUGUAAAUAAAUUGUUAAGUCUUCACCCGAUGUUCACCUGAUAAAUAAAUAUGUCGUCAGUCUUCACAAUUACCAAGAUUGAAAGGGACAUGACUCAAUGAAUAGCUGUUGACCAAUCCACCUACGAUGGUCAGGAAAAAGGCUUGGAACCCCAAGAGCCAAGAUCAAUUAGCUAACUUGCUUUAGCUGAUCAGCUCAGAGAACCAUAAUAAAGAAAAUGAGGCUGUAUAGAGAGAUGGGAUUUUCUUAAAGGGUGGUUGCCCCUCUCUGUUUAGCCGAUGAUUUUCUUAGUGGUCCCAAAAGAAAAAAACCCAACAGCCCUUUCGUCUUUCUGAAACCCUGAGGAUGAUGUAUCUUCCAUGGAUUGCAGGGGAGUACAAUCUUCUGGGUUUCAACCAGAACGUAUGUUUUCUGUUUCUGUACGUAUCUUAAUUUGGUACCUCCUGCAUUCAGUGUAUACUAAACUUCCAGGUUAAACAACAACCAUUUUUGGAUCUCGAAUUUUGAGGCUGUGACGAUGAUUUGAUUUCUCUGAGCAAAUAAACGUUAGGCAUCUGAGGUAAAAGUGGGCCGUAUCUUGGUUGGGCAACCCGGAUGGCAGCGGUCGGAAAUCUCACUGCGGGUUUUUCCUGAUCUGCAUCUGCAACCGGUUUUUUUGCAGCCAUGGCGGUUCACGUCUCUCACUGCUUGACUUAUGGAUUACUGAUCUGAGCCUCACAUAUAUAUA
This 52017-nucleotide long non-coding RNA is filed under the name Coffea arabica (coffee). RNAcentral describes it as "long non-coding RNA (CARA_LNC004543)". Lineage: Eukaryota; Viridiplantae; Streptophyta; Magnoliopsida; Gentianales; Rubiaceae. The record is from RNAcentral.